RNAcentral lists this long non-coding RNA (51405 nucleotides) under Triticum aestivum (bread wheat). RNAcentral describes it as "long non-coding RNA (TAES_LNC015409)". Lineage: Eukaryota; Viridiplantae; Streptophyta; Magnoliopsida; Poales; Poaceae. The record is from RNAcentral.
AUUAUUUAGGUCUAAUACUAAUCCCGAAGGUAGAUGUAGAGGUAGCGUGCCGACCGCGAUCACAUCGACUUUGGAACCAUUUCCCACGCGCAUCGUCACCUUGUCCUUAGCCAAUCUUCGCUUAAUCUGUAGUCCCUGUUUCGAGUUGCAAAUGUUAGCAAUAGAACCAGUAUCAAAUACCCAGGUUCUACUGCGAGCAUUAGUAAGGUACACAUCAAUAACAUGUAUAUCACAUAUACCUUUGUUCACCUUGCCAUCCUUCUUAUCCGCCAAAUACUUGGGGCAGUUCCGCUUCCAGUGACCAGUCUGCUUGCAGUAGAAGCACUCGGUUUCAGGCUUAGGUCCAGGUUUGGGUUUCUUCUCUUGAGUAGCAACUUGCUUGCUGUUCUUUUUGAAGUUCCCCUUCUUCUUUCCUUUGCCUUUUUUCUUGAAACUAGUGGUCUUGUUGACCAUCAACACUUGAUGCUCCUUCUUGAUUUCUACCUCCACAGCUUUCAGCAUUGCGAAGAGCUCGGGAACAGUCUUAUUCAUCCCUUGCAUAUUAUAGUUCAUCACGAAGCUCUUGUAGCUUGGUGGCAGUGAUUGGAGAAUUCUGUCAAUGACGCAAUCAUCUAAAAGAUUAACUCCCAAUUGAAUCAAGUGAUUAAUAUACCCAGACAUUUUGAGUAUAUGCUCACUGACAGAACUGUUCUCCUCCAUCUUGCAGCUAUAGAACUUAUUGGAGACUUCAUAUCUCUCAAUCCGGGCAUUUGCUUGAAAUAUUAACUUCAACUCCUGGAACAUCUCAUAUGCUCCAUGACGUUCAAAACGUCGUUGAAGUCCUGAUUCUAAGCCGUAAAGCAUGGCACACUGAACUAUCGAGUAGUCACCAGCUUUGCUCUGCCAGACGUUCAUAACAUCUGGUGUUGCUCCAGUAGCAGGCCUGGCACCCAGCGGUGCUUCCAGGAUGUAAUUCUUCUGUGCAGCAAUGAGGAUAAUCCUCAAGUUACGGAUCCAGUCCAUGUAAUUGCUACCAUCAUCUUUCAACUUUGCUUUCUCAAGGAACGCAUUAAAAUGAACGGAACAACAGCACAGGCCAUCUAUCUACAAUCAAACAUAAACAAGCAAGAUACUAUCAGGUACUAAGUUCAUGAUAAAUUUAGGUUCAAUUAAUCAUAUUACUAAAGAACUCCCACUUAGAUAGACAUUCCUCUAAUCCUCUAAGUGAUUACGUGAUCCAAAUCAACUAAACCAUGUCCGAUCAUCACGUGAGAUGGAGUAGUUUCAUUGGUGAACAUCACUAUGUUGAUCAUAUCUACUAUAUGAUUCACGCUCGACCUUUCGGUCUCCGUGUUCUGAGGUCAUAUCUGUAUAUGCUUGGCUCGUCAAGUAUAACCUGAGUAUUCCGCAUGUGCAACUGUUUUGCACCCGUUGUAUUUGAACGUAGAGCCUAUCACACCCGAUCAUCACGUGGUGUCUCAACACGAAGAACUUUCGCAACGGUGCAUACUCAGGGAGAACACUUCUUGAUAAUUAGUGAGAGAUCAUCUUAAAAUGCUACCGUCAAACAAAGCAAGAUAAGAUGCAUAAAAGAUAAACAUCACAUGCAAUCUAUAUAAGUGAUAUGAUAUGGCCAUCAUCAUCUUGUGCUUGUGAUCUCCAUCUUCGAAGCACAGUCGUGAUCACCAUCGUCACCGGCGCGACACCUUGAUCACCAUCAUAGCAUCGUUGUCGUCUCGCCAAUCUUAUGCUUCCACGACUAUCGCUACCGCUUAGUGAUAAAGUAAAGCAUUACAGCGCAAUUGCAUUGCAUACAAUAAAGCGACAACCAUAUGGCUCCUGCCAGUUGCCGAUAACUUGGUUACAAAACAUGAUCAUCUCAUACAAUAAAAUUUAGCAUCAUGUCUUGACCAUAUCACAUCACAACAUGCCCUGCAAAAACAAGUUAGACGUCCUCUACUUUGUUGUUGCAAGUUUUACGUGGCUGCUACGGGCUUAAGCAAGAACCAAUCUUACCUACGCAUCAAAACCACAACAAUAGUUUGUCAAGUUGGUGUUGUUUUAACCUUCGCAAGGACCGGGCGUAGCCACGCUCGGUUCAACUAAAGUUGGAGAAACUGACACCCGCUAGCCACCUUUGUGCAAAGCACGUCGGGAGAACCGGUCUCGCGUAAGCGUACGCGUAAUGUCGGUCCGGGCCGCUUCGUCUAACAAUACCGCCGAACCAAAGUAUGACAUUCUGGUAAGCAAUAUGACUUAUAUCGCCGACAACUCACUUGUGUUCUACUCGUGCAUAUAACAUCAACACAUAAAACCUAGGCUCGGAUGCUACUGUUGGGGAACGUAGAAAUUUCAAAAUUUUCCUACGCACACGCAAGAUCACGGUGAUGCAUAGCAACGAGAGGGGAGAGUGUGAUCUACGUACCCUUGUAGACCGACAGCGGAAGCGUUAUGACAACGCGGUUGAUGUACUCGUACGUCUUCACGGCCCGACCGAUCAAGCACCGAAACUACAAACACCUCCGAGUUUUAGCACAUGUUCAGCUCGAUGACGAUCCCCGGACUCCGAUCCAGCAAAGUGUCGGGGAAGAGUUCCGUCAGCACGAUGGCGUGCUGACGAUCUUGAUGUUCUACCAUCGCAGGGCUUCGCCUAAGCACCGCUACAAUAUUAUCGAGGAUUGUGGUGGAAGGGGGAACCGCACACGGCUAAGAAAGCAAUCACGUGGAUCAACUUGUGUGUCUAGGGGUGCCCCCUGCCCCCGUAUAUAAAGGAGCAAGGGGAGGAGGCCGUCCGACCCUAUAGGCGUGCCAAGUAGGAGUCCUCCUCCUAGUAGGAGUAGGACUCCUACUAGGAGGGGGAAGGAAGUGGGGAGGGAGAAGGAAAGAGGGGGCGCCGCCCCCCUCUCCUAGUCCAAUUCGGACCAGGGGGAGGAGGCGCGCGGCUCACCCUGGCUGCCCUUCUCUNNNNNNNNNNNNNNNNNNNNNNNNNNNNNNNNNNNNNNNNNNNNNNNNNNNNNNNNNNNNNNNNNNNNNNNNNNNNNNNNNNNNNNNNNNNNNNNNNNNNNNNNNNNNNNNNNNNNNNNNNNNNNNNNNNNNNNNNNNNNNNNNNNNNNNNNNNNNNNNNNNNNNNNNNNNNNNNNNNNNNNNNNNNNNNNNNNNNNNNNNNNNNNNNNNNNNNNNNNNNNNNNNNNNNNNNNNNNNNNNNNNNNNNNNNNNNNNNNNNNNNNNNNNNNNNNNNNNNNNNNNNNNNNNNNNNNAAAUCACCCGAAACACUUUCGGUGUCCGAAUAUAGCAAUCUUUAUGUCUCGGCCAUUUCGAGACUCCUCGUUAUGUCCGUGAUCACAUCCGGGACUCCGAACAACCUUCGGUACAUCAAAACUCAUAAACUCAUAAUAUAACUGUCAUCGAAACCUUAAGCGUGCGGACCCUACGGGUUCGAGAACAAUGUAGACAUGACCGAGACAUGUCUCCGGUCAAUAACCAAUAGCGUAACCUGGAUGCUCAUAUUGGCUCCCACAUAUUCUACAAAGAUCUUUAUCGGUCAGACCACAUAACAACAUAUGUUGUUCCCUUUGUCAUCGGUAUGUUACUUGCCCGAGAUUUGAUCGUCGGUAUCUCAAUACCUAGUUCAAUCUCGUUACCAGCAAGUCUCUUUACUUGUUUCGUAAUACAUCAUCUCGCAACUAACUCAUUAGUUGCAAUGCUUGCAAGGCUUAUGUGAUGUGUAUUACCGAGAGGGCCCAGAGAUACCUCUCCGACAAUCGGAGUGACAAAUCCUAAUCUCGAAAUACGCCAACCCAACAUUUACCUUUGGAGACACCUGUAGAGCUCCUUUAUAAUCACCCAGUUACGUUGUGAUGUUUGGUAGCACACAAAGUGUUCCUCCGGCAAACGGGAGUUGCAUAAUCUCAUAGUCAUAGGAACAUGUAUAAGUCAUGAAGAAAGCAAUAGCAACAUACUAAACAAUCGGGUGCUAAGCUAAUGGAAUGGGUCAUGUCAAUCACAUCAUUCUCCUAAUAAUGUGAUCCCGUUAAUCAAAUGACAACACAUGUCUAUGGUUAGGAAACAUAACCAUCUUUGAUUAACAAGCUAGUCAAGUAGAGGCAUACUAGUGACGUUUAGUUUGUCUAUAUAUUCACACAAGUAUUAUGUUUCCAGAUAAUACAAUUCUAGCAUGAAUAAUAAACAUUUAUCAUGAUAUAAGGAAAUAAAAUAAUAACAUUAUUAUUGCCUCUAGGGCAUAUUUCCUUCACUUCAAGGACCAAGCUUUGGAGGCGAGCGACAAGGUGGCGAGCAAGGAUGAUGCUUCCAUCUUUGGAGAUGAGAGGGAUGAUGUGCCAUCUUCGGCCUUCAUCCAAGGCGACAAUGACGAGAUGAUCGAGCAUGGGAUUUUCCCUUUGGUCAUAGAGGAGAGCGAUGAUGUGCCAUCUUCGACCUUCAUCCUUGGUGACAGCGAUGAGAUGGUUGAGUAUUUCACUUCGACCACGAUGACGUAUGAUGACUUGAGUGACUUGUUCCACUAUAUUGAGAGUGAGAGUGACUUCACCUCUAGCCCCAUAUAUGAUAAGUUUCCACAAUUUCCAUGUGAGGAGAGCCACAACCCCCACCACUUGGGUGAGAUGAGUGACUCCACCAUAUGUGAGUUUGAGUGCACCUACUUUGAGGGAGUGAGUGAACCAUCACAUUGAGAGAGGGAGAUAGUUGAUAGGUCUCGUGAGGCCAUUUGCAUUUCUAACAACUUGACCUCUACCUCUAUUGUGUCUUCUCAUUUGGUGCUAGGUCCCAUUUAUGAUGACGCGCCGGUCCUCGACGACUUCGUCCUCCCUUUGGACAAGACGAUAGCCAUGGUGGAAUAUGAUGCACCCCCACAUGGUUCCAUCAAGAUAAACAUGACCAACAUUUGGUCUUUCCCACCUCACCUACACCACUUGAGUGGAAUGAGAAUGGUAACAUAGGUGAAGGUGAUGCUCUAGUCCCACUAGUGGACAUUCUUGGCAUUGAUUGCUUGCAUGAUGUUGAUCAACCUAUUUCCAUGCUUCAUGCUAGUGCGACUUCCUCAUGUCUUGACUUACCAAUUUAUGAUGACUAUGAUGAUGAGCAUGUUGAGUUGCCUAGUUGUGAUGCCAUGUUACAUAGGAUUUCUUGUGACAAUUCCCUUGGUCACAUCAUGUUUGAUAAUCUGCUUGACUUGUCAUAUGCUAUGCAUGAGAUCAACCAUAUGUUUUAUUUGCAAUCUCUUCAUAGUGACUAUGCAUAUGCCAUUAAAAUAAACCCAAUUUGCACAUAUGGCAUAGAUGACAAGCCCAUGGUUAUUGGCAUUUGUUUUUCUUGUGAUGAUAUUGAUAUGCUACCUUUGCAUCAUUUAUCUCAUAUGCCAUGCCAUGCCCACCUAGCUUCGGAUAUGCAUUGUUUUGGAUGUUGUCCAUUUUCUCCAUAUGAUGUUUCCAAUGUUGUUCAUGAGGAGACCCCCAUAGUUUCCUCAUAAAUGUUAGGCUUCAGGUGCAAUAAUGACUUCAGGGGACACAUUCACCUCUGGCGCCACAUUUGCUUCAGCCAUGACAACGUCAUUGGCUUUAGUAUUGGUGUUGGUGGCCGCCUCAGUAUUAUCAACCUCCACUUGAGUAGCUAGAGGGUCGGACACAUUCUCCUCGAGAACAACUUCAUGGUUGGACAGGGGUGUAGCAACACGUUCUUCUUCUUGACGGGGUUCUUCUUGUUCAUCGGCUGAUGCAGCUGGAAUGUCUUCAGCAACUUUGGCUUCAGACUCUGACAAGUUCGCAGUUGGAGUGGCUUCAGGGAACACUUGGCGUGACACUGAGUUUUGGUGCUCUUCUCCUUCUGGAACACUCGAAAGAGUGACUUGUGGCCUUGGUCCUUUGCGAAGCCUGCGAAAUGCGGGCGACGCUUGUGGAGAGGGAGUUGGCUGGGCCUCAAAGUCGUCAUCAUCAAGCACCGCACUGGUGACUUGAGUUGGGGGAGUACUUGGUGAUUCUUCUUCACGGGGGAGUCUUGAGGAUGAUUAGCCUAUGAAUCAUCAUGAGCAAUUGGCGUCAAAGGACGACCAAUGCUGAUGAGUUCGCUGUUCGUGAGAACAGACGAUGAUACCUUUUGGUGCUCAAUCUGAGGAAGAACUUCAUCAUCAUUUAUAUUGUCUUGAGGACCAAUGUCUUCAGCUGCAGUGUGGUCAACAGUUGGAUCUUCUUCAACUUCAGGACCCUUUGUGGUAGCAGGCUCGUGAACUAUUAAACGACGCUCUUCGUGUGCAGAUGCAAGACGAGCAACUGAGAUUAGAUCAACGACAAGGGUGAAAGUGCUAGUUAUCAACUAGAGAGGGGGUGAAUAGGCGAUUUUUAUGAAAGUCUUCAAAACAUGGAAGUUUCAAAGACAAACAAUAGAAAUGACCCUAUUAAUAUGCAGCGGAAGAUAAACUACACUAAGCAAGCCAUAGUCAAGUAUGCAAUAAGGUGAGAGUACGAAGACUAAUAGCAGCUAGGUAGUAAGGAUCAGGAUGGAAGAUGAUAGGAGUCAAACAGUGAAGAAAAAUAGGUAACGCAAACAGGCAAUGACUUCACGAAGACAAACUCUAAGUAAAGAGAGGGAGAGGAUAGAACCAGUCACUUGUUGAGGACACAGGAUUUGUUAGACCAGUUCCAGUUGCUGUGACAACUAUACGUCUGGUUAGGGAGGCUGAGAUUCAACUCAGAAGACCGCGUCUUCACCUUAUUCCCCUUGAGCUAAGGACACCCAGUCCUCGCCCAAUUACUCUGGUAAGUCUUCAAGGUAGACUUCCAAACCUUCACAGACUUUGUUCACCGGCGAUCCACAACAACUCUUGGAUGCUCAGAACGUGACGCCUAACCGGCUGGAGGAUUCACAGUCCUCAAGUGUAAUAAGUCUUCAGGUCACUCAGACAGAAAGACUUCAGUGAUGCCUAACACUCUUUGGCUCUGGGUGUUUGGGCUUUGUCCUCGCAAGGAUUUCUCUCUCUCAAAAGCUUCGAGGUGGGUUGCUCUAAAAAUGACAGAAGCCGUGCACUUACUCUGAGCAGCCACCAAUUUAUGGUGUAGGGGGUGGGCUAUUUAUAGCCACUAGGCAACCCGACUUGAUUUGUCCAAAAUGACCCUGGGUCACUAAGGAACUGACACGUGUUCCAACGGUCAGAUUUCAAACACACACGGCAACUUUACUUGAGCUGCAAGCAAAGCUGACUCAUCCAGCUCUGGAUAAGAUUUGCCCUCAUUGUCUUCGCUCGAAGACAUAGGAUUUGGGUUGAGCAUCACUUCAGUCACUCUGACUUUGUUCACUUGGACCCCACUUAACAGUAGGUGGUUCCUAUGACUCAACAAAGAAGAAAAGGAAACAAUGAAACGACUAAGUCUUCAUGCUCCACAGUCUUCACGCGAUGUCUUCUCUUGUCAUAGUCUUCAAUAUGAAUAUCUUCACAUACCACCAUUGUCGUCAAUGUCUUCAUACAUUUUUAGGGGUCAUCUCCGGUAGGUAAAGCGAAUCAAGGAGGGACUACUACCUGUGUUAUCCUGCAAUUCUCACAAACACAUUAGUCCCUCAACCAGGUUUGUCGUCAAUACUCCAAAACCAACCAGGGGUGGCACUAGAUGCACUUACAAUCUCCCCCUUUUUGGUGAUUGAUGACAAACUGGUUGAAGUUUUCAACGGGGAUAAAAGUAUGUGAAAUGUAAAGGAUUUAGGUAUUGUCUUCAUAAGUGGCAAAGGCUCCCCCUGAAGAUGUGCAUAUUAGUAAUUUGCUUUUGGAAUGCAAAUGCACAUGGCAGGUUGUACUUGUGGAAAUCCUCUUCAACUUAUGAAGACAAUUCAUCAUGCAUGAUUUGAUAUAACAAAGAUAAUGACAUGCAUAAUAAGAAAUGGACGUCUGCAGAAUGACCUAAGUGCGAAAGUUAUCAUCGCACAAGCGGAAUUUAUCAUCGCAUCGCAGAAUAGCAAAUAAGUAGCAGACGACCAUCGAGUUUAAGUGUUACAACUCAAAGAAGCAAAUGUAUCAAAGAGCGAGAGUUGUAAACACUAGGAAGAAUAUAAAGCAACCGCCCAUAUGGACCCGCUUGAAGACUAUCAAACUCAUAUGCUUCUCCCCUUUUGUCAGUAAGGACCAAAAAGGUUUGAAGACAUAGAGCAUCUACUCAUUCCCAUGAGGAGUUGGUGAAGCGGCAGGGUCGUCGGUGUUGUUUGGCGGAGCAGACGAACUUGGUGCAGUGUUGAUUCGCGCUGAAGGUGGUGAAGUAGCAUCGUCUUCAUCAUCGAUGACACGGGCAUUCACUGUUGCAGCAGAGGAGGAGAACUCAGAGUCUUCAAGAGACGGAGUGCGCCGCAGCACAGUCCUUCUUGGAGGUGUUGUGUCAAACUUGAAGCGUUCAGAGAAGCCAUCGUCUUGAAGAUCAUCUUCAGAACACUUAAGAGUCAGCCCUUUCCAUGUACGCCGAAAAGUUUCAUGGGCAACAAAGGCAUUCUUGGUGGAAAGGUUGCGAAUCCUGUUUACGUCCACCAAGAGGCUUUUCAUUUGGCGCUUCAGCCAGUCAUGAUGCUUAUCCUGUUUCUGAUGAAGGGCAACCAGAAGCUCUCGGUCAUUGAGAACACGAGAUCGCUUCUUAGGCCGUUGUGGAAUGGUGCUUUCGGUGGCUUCAGUGAGGGCACGAUGAGGUGCACGCGUAGUACCAGCCGGGGGAUAAACACGAGUGACUGCUUGAACUCCUUCAAUAUUUUGUGAGAAGCUUUGAUUAUCAGCAUUUUGAAUACUAAGGGGCUCCUUGGCAGGCUCUGGAUAGAUGGCUUCAACUGACAUAUCAACCUCAGGCAGAAAAAUCAGAUGAUUGUGAGCAGAGGGCUGAUAGUUGACAGCUGAGUGUAGCUUGAUUAGACGCAUGAUCCAUGGAGCGUAAAACUUCAAACCAAAGAGAUCAUAGCCUGAUGCAGCAAGUUGGCGGAUAAAGAAGUCUUGUACAUUGAAGCUUUUGCCGUGAAGAAUAUGGAAAACCAAAGUCUUCAUUGCACCUUCAAGCUUUGCAUGAGGAGAAUGUCUUUUGAUGGGCCAGAGAGUUCGCCUUAUAAUGUGAUAGAUAGUACGUGGCAGAUACUCAAGGUCUUCAACAAAGAACUCCUUAGGAUAUUCUGCAUCAGGAGACAAAUGCUUCAUCAUGCUAAGCAUCUGGCUCAUGUUGGGUUCAGGCUUGUGAAAAAUACUUUCCAAAGCAACACUGUGAAGCUGACAACCAGGUUCAUAAAGAUCACCUGGAGUGGGCAGGCCAGUGAGCUCAAUGAUAUCAAAGGCUUUGGCUUCAUGAUGGACAUUGCCUGUCAUCCACUCAAGGACCCAAGUCUUCGGAUCCCUAUUGUAGCCAUGAAUAUGAAGAGUGGCAUAGAAUUGGAGCAGCAAUUCUUCAUUCCAGUUCUCCUUGUUAGUGACGAACUGCAACAAGCCAGACUCUCUGAAGCAAUCCAGCGCUUCUUCCAAACAGGGCAGACCAAUUAUGGCUUCAAUGUCAAGACGCAUAUGUGGGAAAAUGUGACCUAGAUUGUAUAAGAUGCAUGAGUAAUAACUGUGCUGCUGAUAGCUCUAGAACCGAUCAGAUGAUAUUCUUGCCUUAGAGUAGGGGUUCUUGGCGCUAUCAAAGAAGGUAUUGUCCGCUUUGAAACCAUUGACAUUGAAUGAUCCUGGUGCAGAUGCAGUACCUGGAAACCUAGGCAGUCUUGGCAGUGGCUUCUGAACCUGAGGCUUGUGCUCAACGUGGUAGUCAAAUUGAGGACCAGCAGCAGGCGGGGGAACCAGAAGAGGCCAUUUAACAAUGAUAAGCUGCCCAUAGUUGUAUGCUUGCUUGAUAGUAUGUGGCAUUGGUGGCAGAAUAGGAGCAGUGGCAUUAGCAGAGGCGUCAGGUUGCACAUCUGUAGCAGGUGCUUCAUUGGCUUCAUUGGUUUCUGGCAUGGUGUUCAAUGCAGGCUCCACAUUUUCUUCAGCCAUGACCACAUCAUUGGUGUUUCAUUGGCUUCAUUGGUGUUAGUGGUGGCAGCCUCAAGAUUCUCAGUCUCUACUUGAGGAGUUGGAGAGAUGGGUUCAGACAUGUUCACUUCUGGAACAGCUUCUUCAGUGAUGGGGGAGUAGCGACACGCUCUUCUGCUUGUUUUUCUUCGGCUGAUGCAGCCGGAUUGUCUUCAGCAACAUUAGCUUCAGACACGGAGACAUUCACAGUUGGAGUGGCUUCUGGGAACACCUGACGUGCAACAGAUUGGUGGUGCACUUCUCCUUCUGGAACGCUCGGAAGAGUGACUUGGGGCCUUGGUCCUUUGCGAAGCCUGCGUAACGCUGGCGACGCCUGUGGAGAUGGAGUUGGCUGGGCCUCAAAGUCAUCUUCAUCUUGCACUGGUCGGGUGACUUGUUGUUGGGGAGUACUCGGGUGUCUUGUUGUUGUGGGUGAUCAGCCCAUGAUGCAUCCUGAGCAAUUGGCGUCAGAGGAUGACCAAUUCUGAUGAGUUCGUUGUUCGUGAGAACAGGCGAUGAUACCAAGUUGUGCUCGAUCUGAGGAAGAACUACAUCAUCUUCAACAUUGUCAUGGUGACCAAUGUCUUCAGCAGCGGUGGGGUCAACUGCUGGAAUAUCUUUAGCUUCAGGAGCCUCUGUGGAAGCAGGCUCAUGAACUAUCAUCCGUCGUUCUUGAUGUAAAGAGUCAGGACGAGCAACCGAGAUUGGCUCGACAACGAGGGGGUCUGUGGGAGCAGCCCGAUCUUUCUUGGUUUUGCGCUUCUUCUUGGAGGGUGCGACAUCAGAGGCUUCAGGAUUUUUCCUUUUUCUAGCUUCAGCCUCGGCAGCCCUCGUCUUCUUCAGUUCUGAAGCGGUUGACUUGACCUUUGGCUUCGAGCCGGACAUGCUGCUUGGGAAGACAAUGCGAGGCUCUUCCCGCCUAGAUGGUGCAGAUUGGUCAGCCGAUGGCUUCUUCUUCUUGGCAGCCAUUCUGGGGUCGAUGCCAGGACGCCCAAGAGCCUUGCGCUUUUCAGCUUCAUUGUAGGCUUGCACGCACAUGUCAGCCAGACUCUUCAUGCGCUCACGAGAACCUUUAGCUUCUUCACGUUUCUUGAGAAAAUCUUCCUUGAGCUCAUGCAGCAUAACUUUGAAGUUUUUGACAUCUUGCAUGCUGAGCUUUGCCAUGUGCUUCUUGAACUGAGCUUUCUCAUAGUCAAUCUUGUGCUUCGGUUCAACGAUGCGCUGAGCUAGAGCUAGCUCAGAAGCAAUGGUGCCAUUGAAAGAGACGCUGAGGCCAAUUGGAAGUUGCAGAUCUUCAAAGCCGAGAUUGGGGGUGUCAAACCACUCAUCAAUGAAGUUGUGGAUGAUUGCCACGUCAAAGAGAGGCAAAUCAUUGAAGAUUUCUGCUUCCUCCUUGCUCUUUAUCAGUUGCUCAAGAGCGUCAUCUGCAAGAUCUUCAUCACUUGACAGAUCAAUGUGUUCGUCUCGCAGAAUGGCAGCAGGGGUCAAUGCCUGACCAGUAUUCUUGACGUUUUUCUUCUUCAUCUCCGUCUUCUUGGAGAUACGUGAUAGAUCUUCAGACUGCACACUGUCUUCAAGAGGUGCAGUAGCCAGUGGCUUCGCACGUGACGCUUUUAGGGCAGUAGCUGAUUUAGAAGCAUUAGCCUUCUUUUGCUUCUGCGGCUUUGGAGUAGGAGCUGGGGCUUCAUCAGUGUCGGCAUCAUCAUCAGAAUGAUCCACUUUGGCACCUUGAACGGAAAUGUGAGUGAUGAGGCCAUCAAGGUUGUAGAAGGGUCCGAUGAUAUUGGGUUCAGCAUCGCGUGUGCCGUCAGCCCGGCGAGCAGAAGGACCAGGGUUGAAGUCUAGCCCCAAUGACUUCUUAUUUUCCUUGGCCGAUGCCUUUGCGUGCUGGAAGUUGCGCUUGAAGAGAUUAUCGUCACGACACCAGAGCAGUGAUGAUGGGUCGGCAUUGUCAAGCUAUGGUCCACGGACCAUACAGGGAUAGAAACCAUGGGCAAUAGCUUCAACUCUGGUCUUGGGUGGAAGGCUUCGAAAGAGAAUAUCACCCCAAGGACUCUUCAUGGCAUUCUUCUCAGCAUACUCCUGGGUCACGAACUUGUAUUUAAACCAUUGUUCGGCCUAAUAUCUUCGAAUCCAUUGGAUUCGUGUCUUGUGCUGAUUGUAAUCCUCUUCUGGAUCUGUCUUGUACAACUCUGAGAGGUCAUCAGGCAAAUCUCUUGAUGUUUCCCCAUGAUGCUGUCUGCCACCCUUCCUUGCUGAUUUCUCUGUAGCCAUGAACUUCAAACUGAAUGGCUUCAACAGAGUCAAAGGCUUCAAAGGCUUCCGCUUGUUGGUCAGACAGGAACUGGCUUCGGGAGAGUUAAUGUGAUGCUAUAAGAAUUCUGCAAAUGAAUGCAGACUAUGAGAACCAAGGGAUCGAUUCUCCCACGGACAUGUACCUAUGACAGCAUUAGAGAUGUGAGGGAAGGGGAGAGGUCAUAUGCAUUCUCAGAAGAUUUUGAAGAUAAAUCAGUUUGAAGACAUUGACCUCAUGAUGCGAAGACAUUCACUUAUGUGUUUGAAGUUGGUUCCAGAUUUGUACGAAUCCAGGAAUAGGUACAAGUGAGGAAUCUAACUAGAUGUGAAGCUUAAGUGAAUAUACUAGGCAUUGUAUGAGAUGCAGACAAGAUAGAUCUAACAUUGUGUAGGCAGAAACCACUUUUGGUAAACAAGAUGAAUCUUUAGGAUAAAAAAGAUGGUAAAAAGAGGGUUUCAUUUACCACACGAAGAACUGCUAGAUGGGAAGAGUAGGAGACCGAGCAGUUCAAUCCACCAUGCCCUAACUUGGUGACGGAGGACACCUACAGCGGCGGCGGAGAGGACGAUGUCCGCGGUUGGCGUGAAGACGGCGUCGGUGAGGUCGCGGCAGCUAAGCGCUUCGUCGCCGGCGUCGUCGAAAGCUAGCGGUGGCGCUAGGGUUUUGAUGAGGUGGAGAGGUGGAAGAAGGUUUUCUUGACUGCAAGGGGACAUGUAUUUAUAAGGGAGAGCGCGGCACAAUGCAAUUACGCAGGUGCCCCUGGCGGUUCACAUCUGAGGAACACGUGGCAAGCAUGCAACAUACUUGGAGUUAUCCCACGUUCCCACGCCCGCCUGAACUGUCGGAUGGUCGUUCCGGCUUCUCCGGAUUUCAGGCAAUAAGGAUGGAGCAUUUAAAACAGACUUAAUGUUUGUCUCUGUAUCUUCUACUGACAAGGACGCAGAGAAGACAUUCGACAGUUUCAACAGAAUGCAUAUGAUUCUGAUAGAUAGAGUAUGAGGUAGAAAGCAUAGAGAGAUUAGGGUCCGGUCACAUUCACUUAGUUCAAAAGAUUCAACAGAGAAGACAUAGCUAUAACUGAAUGCUGUAGAGGACAGAACACUAGUAUGUAUAUAUCAGAAAGUAACACAGUGAAGAUAAUCAUGAAGAUAAGUUGAAAUUGAAGACAAAUAGCAAAAGUAACGCCUUGAGAAAAACACUUCAAAUAGAAGAAUUUGGUGGUGGCAUUACCCACCGUAUAGGAAGUAUUAGACCCAGACACGGCGCACAAUUAUCGUGGCGCUCCGAAGUCAAAUUCCACGUUAAUGUAUUCACACUCAAAAUGUAAGUCUUCAUUGAUUGAAAUAUACUUUACUUCAUGUGUUGCACUUCUAAGUCAUCAACAUGCAUAAGUGUUAGGAUGUGUGCCUGAUCACAGGACAUUUGAGGAUUCCAAGAUAUUUAGCUCACACCGUAACUUGCAAAACCUUUUCUCAUCCAAGGGCUUUGUGAAGAUAUCUGCCAGUUGCUCUUCAGUGUUGACGUGAAUGAUAUAAAUAUAUUCCUUCAUGACAUGGUCUCUGAGAAAGUGAUGACGAAUUUCAAUGUGCCUUGUCUUCGAGUGCUGAGCUGGGUUGUUGGCAAUCUUGAUGGCGCUUUCGUUGUCACAGAAGAGUGGUACUUGUUUCAGAUGGAUGCCAUAGUCCUUGAGAGUUUGCUUCAUCCAUAGAAGCUGAGCGCAGCAAGAUCCAGCAGCAAUGUAUUUAGAUUCAGUAGUGGAGAGUGAUACACAGUUCUGCUUCUUUGAAGACCAACAGACAAGUGAUCGUCCCAGAAAAUGACAUGUGCCUGAUGUAGAUUUGCGAUCCACCUUGUCACCAGCAUAAUCAGCAUCCAAGAAUCCAACCAUAUCAAAUUCUGAGCCCUUUGUAUACCAUAAUCCUAAUGUUGGGGUGUAAGCCAAAUAUCGAAGAAUUCGCUUCACAGCUAAGUGAUGCGAUUCCUUUGGUGCCGCUUGGAAUCGAGCACACAUGCAAACACUAAGCAUAAUACCUGGCCUAGAUGAACAUAGGUAAAGUAAAGAACCAAUCAUGGAGCGGUAUACCUUUUGAUCAAACUCUUUACCAUUGUUGUCGGGACCCAGAUGGUGUUUGGCUGGCAUUGGCGUCGUGUAACCUUUGCAAUCUUGCAUUCCGAACUUCUUCAGACAAUCUUUGAGGUAUUUUUCUUGAGAUAUGAAGAUGCCAUUCCUUUGCUGACGAAUUUGAAGACCAAGGAAGAACUUCAGCUCACCCAUCAUGGACAUCUGAUAUUGUUCUUGCAUCAUGUGUCCAAACUCAUCACUGUAUUUCUGAUUGGUGCAGCCAAAGAUAAUAUCGUCCACAUAGAUUUGGCACACAAACAGUUCACCAUCAUAUGUCUUUGUGAAGAGCGUGGGAUCGAGGGAUCCAGGUUUGAAGCCUUUGCUCUUCAGGAAGUCUUUGAUUGUAUCAUACCAAGCGCGAGGAGCUUGUUUGAGGCCAUACAGUGCUUUGUUUAGCUUGUACACCAUAUCAGGAUGUUUUGGAUCUUCAAAGCCAGGAGGUUGUGCGACAUAUACUUCUUCUUCAAUCUUGCCGUUGAGAAAUGCACUCUUCACAUCCAUUUGAUAUAGCAAGAUGUUGUGAUGAUUUGCAUAGGCUAGCAGUAUUCGAAUAGCUUCAAGCCUAGCCACAUGAGAAAAUGUUUCAUUGAAGUCAAUCCCUUCAACUUGAGUAUAUCCUUGAGCGACGGGACGUGCUUUGUUUCUGACGACUUGACCAUGCUCAUCUUGCUUGUUUCGAUAUAUCCAUUUUGUGCCUAUUAUGUUGUGCUUGCGAGGGUCAGGACGCUUGACAAGUUCCCAAAUAUUGUUCAGCUUGAACUGUUGAAGCUCUUCUUGCAUAGCUUGAAUCCAUUCAGGUUCCAUAAAGGCUUCAGCAACUUUCUUGGGUUCUGAUAUUGAUACAAAGGCAAAAUGCCCACAGAAAUUUGCUAACGGUGUUGCCCUUGAACGAGUGAGUGGACCAGGUGCAUUUAUGCUAUCAAUUAUCUUCUCAAUCUGUACUUCGUUUGCAACACGAGGAUGAACUGGACGAAGAUUUUGCUCUUGCUGAUCAUUAUCAACAUUGGAAGGAUUGUCUUCAGGCUAAGCAUUGUCUUCAGUUUGAUUAGGUGCAGAAAUGAUAAGUUCGUCUUCAGGAUGUGCUUCAGAAGGUAUGAUUUCACCAAUUCCCAUUAGCUUGACAGACUCACUGGGUGGAGCUUCGUCUAGCAUAUUUGGCAGGAUCUCUCUUUGUGAUCCAUUGGUUUCAUUGAACCGUACGUCCACAGUUUCGACAACUUUAUAGAGAUAGAGAUUAAAGACUCUGUAAGAGUGCGAGUCCUUUCCGUAACCGAGCAUGAAACCUUCGUGAGCUUUAGGUGCAAAUUUUUAUUUUUGAUGUGGAUCCUUGAUCCAGCACCUAGCUCCAAAUACUCUGAAGUAACUGACAUUUGGCUUCUUGCCUGUUAGGAGUUCAAAGGAUGUUUUCUUCAGAAGCUUAUGAAGAUAAACACGGUUGAUGACAUGACAUGCUAUAUCAAUAGCUUCAGGCCAGAACUUUCUUGGUGUCUUGUACUCAUCGAGCAUGGUUCGAGCCAUCUCAAUGAGAGUUCUGUUCUUGCGCUCUACGAUGCCAUUAUGCUGAGGUGUGUAUGGAGCUGAGAACUCAUGAGUGAUUUGUUGGGUCACGUAGUAAUUUCAAAAUUUUCCUACGCUCACGCAAGAUCAUGGUGAUGCAUAGCAACGAGAGGGGAGAGUAUGAUCUACGUACCCUUGUAGAUCGACAACGUAAGCGUUUGGUUGAUGUAGUCGUACGUCUUCAUGGCCCGACCGAUCAAGCACCGAAACUACGGUACCUCCGAGUUCUAGCACACGUUCAGCUCGAUGACGAUCCCCGGACUUCGAUCCAGCAAAGUGUCGGGGAAGAGUUCCGUCAGCACGACGGCGUGGUGACGAUCUUGAUGUACUACUGCAGCAGGGCUUCGCCUAAGCACCGCUACAAUAUUAUCGAGGACUAUGGUGGAAGGGGGCACCGCACACGGCUAAGAAUAUGAUCACCUGGAUCAACUUGUGUCUCUUUGGGGUGCCCCUGCCUCCGUAUAUAAAGGCUCAAGGGGGGUGCGGCCGGCCUAGGAGAGGUGCGCCAGGAGGAGUCCUACUCCCUGGGAGUAAGAUCCCCCCCCCCAAUCCUAGUUGGAAUAGGAUUCGCGGAGGGGGAAAAGAGAGAGGGGGGCAGGCCCCCUCUCCUUGUCCUAUUCGGACCAAGGGAGGGGAGGGGCGCGCGGCCCAUCUUGGGCUGCUCCUUCUCUUUUCCACUAAGGCCCACUUAGGCCCAUAUAGCUCCUGGGGGGUUCCGGUAACCUCCCGGUACUCCGGUAAAAUCCCGAUUUCACCCGGAACACUUCCGAUAUCCAAACAUAGGCUUCCAAUAUAUCAAUCUUUAUGUCUCGACCAUUUUGAGAUUCCUUGUCAUGUCCGUGAUCACAUCCGGGACUCCAAACAACCUUCGGUACAUCAAAACUCAUAAACUCAUAAUAUAACUGUCAUCGAAACCUUAAGCGUGCGGACCCUACGGGUUCGAGAACAAUGUAGACAUGACCGAGACACGUCUCCGGUCAAUAACCAAUAGCAGGACCUGGAUGCCCAUAUUGGCUCCUACAUAUUCUACGAAGAUCUUUAUCGGUCAGACCGCAUAACAACAUACGUUGUUCCCUUUGUCAUCGGUAUAUUACUUGCCCGAGAUUCGAUCGUCGGUAUCUCAAUACCUAGUUCAAUCUCGUUACCGGCAAGUCUCUUUACUCGUUCCAUAAUACAUCAUCUCACAACUAACUCAUUAGUUGCAAUGCUUGCAAGGCUUAUGUGAUGUGCAUUACCGAGAGGGCCCAGAGAUACCUCUCCGACAAUCGGAGUGACAAAUCCUAAUCUCGAAAUACGCCAACCCAACAUGUACCUUUGGAGACACCUGUAGAGCACCUUUAUAAUCAUCCAGUUACGUUGUGACGUUUGGUAGCACACAAAGUGUUCCUCUGGUAAACGGGAGUUGCAUAAUCUCAUAGUCAUAGGAACAUGUAUAAGUCAUGAAGAAAGCAAUAGCAACAUACUAAACGAUCGGGUGCUAAGCUAAUGGAAUGGGCCAUGUCAAUCAGAUCAUUCACCUAAUGAUGUGAUCCCGUUAAUCAAAUAACAACUCUUUGUCCAUGGUUAGGAAACAUAACCAUCUUUGAUUAACGAGCUAGUCAAGUAGAGGCAUACUAGUGACACUCUGUUUCUCUAUGUAUUCACACAUGUAUUAUGUUUCCGGUUAAUACAAUUCUAGCAUGAAUAAUAAACAUUUAUCAUGAUAUAAGGAAAUAAAUAAUAACUUUAUUAUUGCCUCUAGGGCAUAUUUCCUUCAGUCUCCCACUUGCACUAGAGUCAAUAAUCUAGAUCACAUCGCCAUGUGAUUUAACAUCAAUAGUUCACAUCUUUAUGUGAUUGGUUCACAUCUCCAUGUGACUAACACCCAAAGGGUUUACUAGAUUCAAUAAUCUAGUUCACAUCGCUAUGUGAUUAAGACCCAAAAAGUGAUCAUGUUUUGCUUGUGAGAGAAGUUUAGUCAACGGGUCUGCCACAUUCAGAUCCGCAUGUAUUUUGCAAAUUUCUAUGUCAACAAUGCUCUGCAUGGAGCUACUCUAGCUAAUUGCUCCCACUUUCAAUAUGUAUCCAGAUUGAGACUUAGAGUCAUCUGGAUCAGUGUCAAAACUUGUAUCGACGUAACCCUUUACGACGAACCUUUUGUCACCUCCGUAAUCGAGAAACAUAUCCUUAUUCCAGUAAGGAUAAUUUUGACCGAUGUCCAUUGAUCUACUCCUAGAUCACUAUUGUACUCCCUCUCUUAACACAGUGUAUGGUAUACAAUAGAUCUGGUACACAGCAUGGCAUACUUUAUAGAACCUAUGACUGAGGCAUAGGGAAUGACUUUCAUUCUCUUUCUAUCUUCUGUCGUGGUAGGGCUUUGAGUCUUACUCAACUUCACACCUUGUAACACAGGCAAGAAACUUUUUCUUUGACUGUUCCAUUUUGAACUACUUCAAAAUCUUGUCAAGGUAUGUACUCAUUGAAAAAAUUAUCAAGCGUCUUGAUCUAUCUCUAUAGAUCUUGAUACUCAAUAUGUAAGCAGCUUCACCGAGGUCUUUCUUUGAAAAACUCCUUUCAAACAUUCCUUUAUGCUUUGCAGAAUAAUUCUACAUUAUCUCCGAUCAACAAUAUGUCUUUCACAUAUACUUUAUCAGAAAUGUUGUAGUGCUCCCACUCACUUUCUUGUAAAUACAAGCUUCACCGCAAGUCUGUAUAAAACUAUAUGCUUUGAUCAACUUAUCAAAGCGUAUAUUCCAACUCCGAGAUGUUUGCACCAGUCCAUAGAUGGAUCGCUGGAGCUUGCACAUUUUGUUAGCAACUUUAAGAUUGACAAAACCUUCUGGUUGUAUCAUAUACAACUCUUCUUUAAUAAAUCCAUUAAGGAAUGCAGUUUUGUUUAUCCAUUUGCCGGAUUUCAUAAAAUGCGGCAAUUGCUAACAUGAUUCGGACAGACUUAAGCAUAGAUACGAGUCAUCGUAGUCAACACCUUGAACUUGUCGAAAACCUUUUUGCGACAAUUCUAGCUUUGUAGAUAGUAACACUACUAUCAGCGUCCGUCUUUCUCUUGAAGAUCCAUUUAUUUUCUAUGGCUUGCCGAUCAUCGGGCAAAUCCAUCAAAGUCCAUACUUUGUUCUCAUACAUGGAUCAUAUCUCAGAUUUCAUGGCCUCAAACCAUUUCGCGGAAUCUGGGCUCAUCAUCGCUUCCUCAUAGUUCGCAAGUUCGUCAUGGUCAAGUAACAUGACCUCCAGAAUAGGAUUACCGUACCACUCUGGUGCGGAUCUCACUCUGGUUUACCUACGAGAUUCGAUAGUAACUUGAUCUGAAGUUACAUGAUCAUCAUCAUUAGCUUCCUCACUAAUUGGUGUAGUAGUCACAGGAACAGAUUUCUGUGAUGAACUACUUUCCAAUAAGGGAGCAGGUACAGUUACCUCAUCAAGUUCUCUACUUUCCUCCCACUCACUUCUUUCGAGAGAAACUCCUUCUCUAGAAAGGAUCCAUUCUUAGCAACGAAUGUCUUGCCUUCGGAUCUGUGAUAGAAGGUGUACCCAACUGUCUCCUUUGGGUAUCCUAUGAAGACAUAUUUCUCCGAUUUGAGUUUGAGCUUAUCGAGAUGAAACUUUUUCACAUAAGCAUCGCAACUCCAAACUUUAAGAAACGAUAGCUUAGGUUUCUUGCCAAACCAUAGUUCACACGGUGUCGUCUCAAUGGAUUUAGAUGGUGCCCUAUUUAACGUGAAUGCAGCUACCUCUAAUGCAUAACCCCAAAACGAUAGUGGUAGAUCGGUAAGAGACAUCAUAGAUCGCACCAUAUCUAAUAAAGUACGAUUAUGACAUUCGGACACACCAUUAUGCUGUGGUGUUCCAGGUGGCAUGAGUUUGUGAAACUAUUCCACAUUGUUUUAAUUGAAGACCAAACUCGUAACUCAAAUAUUUUACUUCUGCGAUCAUAUCGUAGAAACUUUCAUUUUUGUUACGAUGAUUCUCCACUUCACUCCGAAAUUCUUUGAACUUUUCAAAUGUUUCAGACCUUUGUUUCAUCAAGUAGAUAUACUCAUAUCUGCUCAAAUCAUCUGUGAAGAUCAGAAAAUAAUGAUACCUAUCACGAGCCUCAAUAUUCAUCGGACCACAUACAUCAGUAUGUAUGAUUUCCAACAAAUCUGUUGCUCGCUCCAUUGUUCCGAAGAACAGAGUCUUAGUCAUCUUGCCCAUGAGGCAUGGUUCGCAAGCAUCAACUGAUUCAUAAUCAAGUGAUUCCAAAAGCCCAUCAGCAUGGAGUUUCUUCAUGCGCUUUACACCAAUAUGACCUAAACGGCAGUGCUACAAAUAAGUUGCACUAUCAUUAUUAACUUUGCAUCUUUUGGUUUCAAUAUUAUGAUUAGGUGUAUCACUACGAUCGAGAUCCAACGAACUAUUUUCAUUGGGUGUGUAACCAUAUAAGGUUUUAUUCAUGUAAACAGAACAACAAUUUAUUCUCUUACUUAAAUGAAUAACCGUAAAACAUGAUCAAAUCAUAUUCAUGCUCAACGUAAACACCAAAUAACACUUAUUUAGGUUCAACACUAAUCCCGAAUUUAUAGGGAGUGUGCGAUGAUGAUCAUAUCAAUCUUGGAACCACUUCCAACACACAUCGUCACUUCACCCUUAACUAGUCUCUGUUUAUUCUGCAACUCCCGUUUCGAGUUACUAAUCUUAGCAACUGAACUAGUAUCAAAUACUGAGGGGUUGCUAUAAACACUAGUAAAAUACACAUCAAUAACAUGUAUAUCAAAUAUACUUAUGUUCACUUUGCCAUCCUUCUUAUCUGCCAAUCACUUGGGGUAGUUCCGCUUCCAGUGACCAAUCCCUUUGCAGUAGAAGCACUUAGUCUCAGGCUUAGGAUCAGACUUGGGCUUCUUCACUUGAGCAGCAACUUGCUUGCUGUUCUUUUUGAAGUUCCCCUUCUUCCCUCUGCCCUUUUCUUGAAACUAGUGGUCUUGUCUACCAUCAACACUUGAUGUUUUUCUCGAUUUCUACCUUCAUCAAUUUCCGCAUUACGAAGAGCUUGGGAAUCGUUUCUGUUAUCCCUUGCAUAUCAUAGUUCAUCACGAAGUUCUACUAACUUGGUGAUGGUGACUAGAGAAUUCUGUCAAUCACUAUCUUAUCUGGAAGAUUAACUCCCACUUGAUUCAAGCGAUUGUAGUACUCAGAAAAUCUGGGCACAUGCUCACUAGUUGAGCGAUUCUCCUCCAUCUUUUAGCUAUAGAACUUGUUGGAGACUUCAUAUUUCUCAACUCGGGUAUUUGCUUGAAAUAUUAACUUCAACUCCUGGAACAUCUCAUAUGGUCCAUGACGUUCAAAACGUCUUUGAAGUCCCGACUCUAAGCCAUUAAGCAUGGUGCACUAAACUAUCAAGUAGUCAUCAUAUUGAGCUAGCCAAACGUUCAUAAUGUCUGCAUCUGCUCCUGCAAUAGGUCAGUCACCUAGCGGUGCAUCAAGGACGUAAUUCUUCUGUGCAGCAAUGAGGAUAAACCUCAGAUCACGGAUCCAAUCCGCAUCUUUGCUACUAACAUCUUUCAACACAAUUUUCUCUAGGAACAUAUCAAAAUAAACACAGGGAAGCAACAACGCGAGCUAUUGAUCUACAACAUGAUUUGCAAAAUACUACCAGGACUAAGUUCAUGAUAAAUUUAAGUUCAAUUUAAUCAUAUUACUUAAGAACUCCCACUUAGAUAGACAUCCCUCUAAUCCUCUAAGUGAUCACGUGAUCCAAAUCAACUAAACCAUGUCCGAUCAUCACAUGAGAUGAAGUAGUUUCAUUGGUGAACAUCACUAUGUUGAUCAUAUCUACUAUAUGAUUCAUUCUCGACCUUUCGGUCUCCGUGUUCCGAGGCCAUAUCUGUAUAUGCUUGGCUCGUCAAGUAUAACCUGAGUAUUCCGCGUGUGCAACUGUUUUGCACCCGUUGUAUUUGAACGUAGAGCCUAUCACACCCGAUCAUCACGUGGUGUCUCAGCAUGAAGAACUUUCGCAAUGGUGCAUACUCAGGGAGAACACUUCUUGAUAAUUAGUGAGAGAUCAUCUUAAAAUGCUACCGUCAAACUAAGAAAAAUAAGAUGUAUAAAAGAUAAACAUCAUAUGCAAUCAAAAUAUGUGACAUGAUAUGGCCAUCAUCAUCUUGCGCCUUUGAUCUCCAUCUCCAAAGUACUGUCAUGAUCUCUAUCGUCACCGGCAUGACACCAUGAUCUCCAUCAUCUUGAUCUAUAUCAAUGUGUCGUCACACGGUCGUCUCGCCAACUAUUGCUCUUGCAACUAUUGCUAUCGCAUAGCGAUAAAGUAAAGCAAUUAUUUGGCGCUUGCAUCUUAUGCAAUAAAGAGACAACCAUAAGGCUUUUGCCAGUUGCCGAUAACUUUAACAAAACAUGAUCAUCUUAUACAACAACUUAUAUCUCAUCACGUUUUGACCAUAUCACAUCACAACAUGCCCUGCAAAAACAAGUUAGACGUCGUCUACUUUGUUGUUGCAAGUUUUACGUGGCUGCUACGGGCUUAAGCAAGAACCAAUCUUACCUACGCAUCAAAACCACAACGAUAGUUUGUCAAGUUGGUGUUGUUUUAACCUUCGCAAGGACCGGGCGUAGCCACACUCGGUUCAACUAAAGUUGAAGAAACUGACACCCGCCAGCCACCUGUGUGCAAAGCACGUCGGUAGAACCAGUCUCGCGUAAGCGUACGCGUAAUGUUGGUCCGGGCCGCUUCAUCCAACAAUACCGCCCACAACUCACUUAUAUGACAUGCUGGUAAGCAGUAUGACUUAUAUCGCCCACAACUCACUUGUGUUCUACUCGUGCAUAUAACAUCAAACCAUAAAAACCUAGGCUCGGAUGCCACUGUUGGGUCACGUAGUAAUUUCAAAAUUUUCCUACGCUCACGCAAGAUCAUGGUGAUGCAUAGCAACGAGAGGGGAGAGUAUGAUCUACGUACCCUUGUAGAUCGACAACGGAAGCGUUUGGUUGAUGUAGUCGUACGUCUUCACGGCCCGACCGAUCAAGAACGGAAACUAUGGUACCUCCGAGUUCUAGCACACGUUCAGCUCGAUGACGAUCCCCGGACUCCGAUCCAGCAAAGUGUCGGGGAAGAGUUCCGUCAGCACGACGGCGUGGUGACGAUCUUGAUGUACUACUGCAGCAGGGCUUCUCCUAAGCACCGCUACAAUAUUAUCGAGGACUAUGGUGGAAGGGGGCACCGCACACGGCUAAGAAUAUGAUCACCUAGAUCAAUUUGUGUCUCUCUGGGGUGCCCCUGCCUCCGUAUAUAAAGGCUCAAGGGGGGGUGCGGCCGGCCUAGGAGAGGCGCGCCAGGAGGAGUCCUACUCUCUCUGGGAGUAGGAUUCCCACCCCCCCCCCCCCAAUCCUAGUUGGAAUAGGAUUCGUGGAGGGGGAAAAGAGAGAGGGGGGCCGGGCCCCUCUCCUUGUCCUAUUCGGACCAAGGGAGGGGAGGGGCGCGCGGCCCAUCUUGGGCUGCUCCUUCUCUUUUCCACUAAGGCCCACUUAGGCCCAUAUAGCUCCCGGGGGGUUCCGGUAACCUCCCGGUACUCCGGUAAAAUCCGGAUUUCACCCGGAACACUUCCGAUAUCCAAACAUAGGCUUCCAAUAUAUCAACCUUUAUGUCUCGACCAUUUCGAGAUUCCUCGUCACGUCCGUGAUCACAUCCGGGACUCCGAACAACCUUCGGUACAUCAAAACUCAUAAACUCAUAAUAUAACUGUCAUCGAAACCUUAAGCGUGCGGACCCUACGGGUUCGAGAACAAUGUAGACAUGACCGAGACACGUCUCCGGUCAAUAACCAAUAGCGGGACCUGGAUGCCCAUAUUGGCUCCUACAUAUUCUACGAAGAUCUUUAUCGGUCAGACCGCAUAACAACAUACGUUGUUCCCUUUGUCAUCAGUAUGUUACUUGCCCGAGAUUCGAUCGUCGGUAUCUCAAUACCUAGUUCAAUCUUGUUACCGGCAAGUCUCUUUACUCGUUCCGCAAUACAUCAUCUCACAACUAACUCAUUAGUUGCAAUGCUUACAAGGCUUAUGUGAUGUGCAUUACCGAGAGGGCUCAGAGAUACCUCUCCGACAAUCGGAGUGACAAAUCCUAAUCUCGAAAUACGCCAACCCAACAUGUACCUUUGGAGACACCUGUAGAGAACCUUUAUAAUCACCCAGUUAUGUUGUGACGUUUGGUAGCACACAAAGUGUUCCUCCGGUAAACGGGAGUUGCAUAAUCUCAUAGUCAUAGGAACAUGUAUAAGUCAUGAAGAAAGCAAUAGCAACAUACUAAACGAUCGGGUGCUAAGCUAAUGGAAUGGGUCAUGUCAAUCAGAUCAUUCACCUAACGAUGUGAUCCCGUUAAUCAAAUAACAACUCUUUGUCCAUGGUUAGGAAACAUAACCAUCUUUGAUUGACGAGCUAGUCAAGUAGAGGCAUACUAGUGACACUCUGUUUGUCUAUGUAUUCACACAUGUAUUAUGUUUCCAGUUAAUACAAUUCUAGCAUGAAUAAUAAACAUUUAUCAUGAUAUAAGGAAAUAAAUAAUAACUUUAUUAUUGCCUCUAGGGCAUUAUUCCUUCAUGAUUCCCAUUGUAUCCAGAUAAAGAUCAAGUCCAGUGUUCUUGAACUCAGUGCCGUUGUCACUUCUGAUAUGCUUGAUCUUGACGCCAUAAUUGUUCAUGGCAUGGUUGGCGAAGCGUCUGAAGACAUCUUGCACUUCGGUCUUGUAGAGAAUUAUGUGCACCCACAUAUAUCUUGAGUAAUCAUCAAUAAUGACGAAGCCAUAAAGACAAGCAGUUGUUGUGAGGGUAGAGUAGUGAGUAGGGCCAAAUAAAUCCAUGUGUAGCAGCUCGAAGGGUUGAGAUGUCGUCAUGAUUGUCUUCGAGGGAUACUUUGCGCUAGUCAUCUUUCCAGCUUCGCAGGCACCGCACAAAUGAUCCUUCUUGAACUUGACGCCCUCGAUGCCUAUGACAUGCUUCUUCUUGGCGAGAGUGUGUAAGUUCCUCAUGCCAGCAUGCCCUAGCCUCCGAUGCCAGAACCAGCACUCUGAAGCUUUUGCAAGAAGACAUACGGCAAGCUGUGGACCUGCUGAGAAAUCUACCAUGUAUAGAUCAUCUUUCCGGUACCCUUCAAAGACUAGAGAUUUGUCAGAUUCCAUAAGUACAAGGCAACGAUAUUUUCCAAAUAUCACAAUCAUGUUCAAGUCACAAAGCAUUGAGACAGACAUUAAGUUGAAACCAAGGGAUUCAACAAGCAUCACUUUAUCCAUGUGCUAAUCCUUUGAGAUUGCAACUCUACCUAGACCCAAUACCUUGCUUUUACCAGUGUCAGCAAAUGUGAUGUGACUCUUGUCAGAUGGACGUAAAGUUGAGUCCAUAAGAAGACUUCAAUCACCAGUCAUAUGAUUAGUGCAUCCGUUGUCCAUAAUCCAUUCUGAAGCAUGAGGUGUCAUACCCUACAGUACAGUCAGGAGGAUAGGCCUCACCAAGAGUUGUGUGAAGCAUAAACAUUUGACGGGCAAGAGGAUUAUUGAAGCUCAGAUCAAGAUUAGGACUGAUAGGAUGAAUGGCAAACGAUUCAGGAACAAAAUACAUAGUGAGACCAUUUGGGCAUUUGAUCUUGCGCCCUACAAGAUGUUUUAGGUCCCCAGCAAUAGCAUCAGACGCCUUUGAUUUUUGGCUGGAGACCUUUUUCUACAAAAGAAAGUUAAUUCUUCUUAACCACCCACAUCUUUAGGGGUGGCUUAGAAGCAACGAGUCUAAGUGCAGCAUCUGAGAACUUCGGCUUUGGAGCCCUAGCAAAUAGCCUUGCAGGAGAUGAAUGAUACUCAUAUGAAUAAGAAAAGUUCUUAGUUCUAUGAACAUAGCGGUUUGAAGACACGCGCUCAUAUUCAUAAGUCUGAGUAUGGUUUCCCUGCAAAACAUUGGCGUUAGGGUGACUCAGGUGAGUCCUCUAUCUAUAUGAAGCCUUUGGACCAUAUGAAGCCUUAGGUCUGGGGUUUGUCUUCUUCCCGGGUGGUGUCAUGAUGACAUUCACUGGAAGAUUCUCAAGACAGCUUUUGGGAACCCAGAUCUUCUUCAUAGGUGGCCCAUUCCUGCAGUUAGUACCGAUAUACCUGGCAAACACUUCACCAUUCUGAUUCUUAAACAUUUUAUAGUUUGCAUCAAAUGAUUCAUCAAUGAUAAUAGGGUUAGCACAGGUAAAGCCAGAUAAGGUGGAUGGGUCCACUGAAGGUCCCUUUGCAGCAACCCAUGUGGUUUUGGGGUACUGCUCAGGCUUCCAGUAGGAACCAUCAACAUUCAUUUUCCUCUCGAACCCAACACCCUCUUUCCUAGGGUUUCAGUUCAGAAUCUGCUUUUUGAGGACAUCACACAGUGUCUGAUGCCCUUUCAGACUUUUGUACAUCCCUGUUUCAAGCAAUGUCUUCAACCUAGCAUUUUCAUCAGCAAUAGUAGUGGUAUCCUCAGCAGAGGGGUUAGUUACCACAUCAGUAGUUGAAGACAAUGCAACAGUAGCAGCAGUAGAACAUUCAGCAACAGAGGUAGCGUUGUCACGCUCAAGGCAUUUUAGACAUGGUGGUUCAAAUCCAUCCUGAGCGGGACUGGUCUGUUGAGCGUGAAGUGACUCAUUCUCUUUUUGAAGAUCUUCAUAAGCUGCUCUCAAUUUCUCAAGCUCUUGCUUCCUUUGAAGAUAAUCAUAGGAGAGCUUUUCAUGAGUGGUUGAGAGCGUUUCAUGACGACUUUCAAGUUCUUGGUACUUAGUAUGAAGAUUUUUAAUGUCUUCCACUAAGGACUGUGAACGGGUCAUUUCCGCGUCCAACAGGUCAUCACUUUUGUCUAACAAUUUUUGAGUAUGUUCCAUAGCUUUUUGUUGUUCAGUUGCAAUUUUAGCAAGUGUUUUGUAGCUGGGUUUGGAUUCACAAUCAGAGUCAUCUUCACUUGAUGUUUGAAAGUAAGCUUCACGUGAUUUUACCUUGGCACCAUGUGCCAUGAAGCAGUAGGUGGGAGCAGGGUCAUCCUUGUCAUUAGCUUCAGCGUUGGUGUGGAAGUCAUUGUCUUCGGUGUUGAAGAUGGACUUGGCAACGUAGGCUGUGGCUAGAGCAAGACUUGCAACGCCAGGGUCGGACUCCUCCUAAGACUCGACCUCCGCCUCCUCAGAAGCAGACUCCUCCUCUAAAUCCAUCUCCUUGCCAACAAAAGCACGAGCCUUGCCAGAUGAGCAAUUCUUAUGAGAUGAAGACUUGGAUGAGGACUUGGAAGAAGACUUUGAAGAUUUCUUCUUCUUCUUGUCAUCAGAAUCAUAUUCCUUGCUCUUCUUCUUCUUCUUCUCAUUGUCCCACUAUGGACACUCAGAGUGUCCAGGUUUCUUGCACUUGUGACAUGUUCUCUUCUUGUAGUCAUGAGUGGAAGUUCUAUCAUUUCUUGAGCUGGAUCGUGAAGACUUUCUGAAGCCCUUCUUUUUAGUGAACUUCUGGAACUUCUUCACAAGCAUAGCAAGUUCCUUUCCAAUGUCUUCAGGAUUAUCAGAACUGCAGUGAGAUUCUUCUUCAGAUGAGGAAACAGCUUUUGACUUCAAAGCGCGAGUUCGGCCAUAGUUGGGACCAUAUAUAUCUCUUUUCUCAGAUAGCUGGAACUCAUGUGUGUUGAGCCUCUCAAGUAUAUCAGACGGAUCGAGUGUAUUGAAGUCAGGACGUUCUUGUAUCAUGAGGGCAAGGGUGUCAACAGAGCUGUCAAGUGAUCUCAGUUGUGUCUUGACGAUUUCAUGCUUGGUAAUCUCAGUGGCGCCGAGAGCACGAAGCUCAUUUGUGAUGUCAGUGAGGCGAUCAAACGUGAGCUGUAUAUUUUCAUUGUCGUUUCUCUUGAAGCGGUCGAAGAGGUUGCGAAGAACACUGGUCAUUUGAUCUCUCUGGGUUGAGACGCCUUCGUUGACCUUGGACAGCCAGUCCCAGACUAGCUUCGACAUUUCCAGAGCACUCACGCGGCCAUACUGUCCUUUGGUCAGAUGACCACGGAUGAUGUUCUUGGUAGUAGAAUCCAGUUGAACGAACUUCUUGACAUCAGCGGGAGUGACAUCUUCACCAGUCUUGGGAACACCAUUCUUGACGACAUACCAGAGGUCGACAUCAAUGGCUUCAAGAUGCAUGCGCAUCUUAUUAUUCCAGUAGGGAUAUUCAGUUCCAUCGAAGACGGGCAAGCAGCGGAGACUUUGAUUAUCCCUACAGUCGACAUAGCUAAAACUCCAGGUGGUUAAACCGAAUCACACAGAACAAGGGAGUACCUUGCUCUAAUACCAAUUGAAAGUGCUAGUUAUCAACUAGAGGGAGGGGUGAAUAGGCAAUUUUUAUGAAAGUCUUCAAAACAUGGAAGUUUCGAAGACAAACAAUAGAAAUGACCCUAUUAAUAUGCAGCGGAAGAUAAACUACACUAAGGAAUCCAUAGUCAUGUAUGAAAUAAGGUGAGAGUAUGAAGACUAAUAGCAGCUAGGUAGUACGGAUCAGGAUGGAAGAUCGUAUGAACCCAAACAAUGAUAGGAGUCAAACAGUGAAGAAAAAUAGGUAACGCAAACAGGCAAUGACUUCACGAAGACAAAUUCUAGGUAAAGAGAGGGAGAGGAUAGAACCAGUCACUUGUUGAACACCCAGUCCUUGCCCAAUUACUCUGGUAAGUCUUCAAGGUAGACUUCCAAACCUUCACAGACUUUGUUCACCGGCGAUCCACAACAACUCUUGGAUGCUCAGAACGCGACGCCUAACCGGCUGGAGGAUUCACAGUCCUCAAGUGUAAUAAGUCUUCAGGUCACUCAGACAGAAAGACUUCAGUGAUGACUGACACUCUUUGGCUCUGGGUGUUUGGGCUUUGUUCUCGCAAGGAUUUCUGUCUCUCAAAAGCUUCAAGGUGGGUUGCUCUCAAAAUGACAGAAGAUGUGCACUUACUCUGAGCAGCCACCAAUUUAUGAUGUAGGGGUGGGCUAUUUAUAGCCACUAGGCAACCCGACCUGAUUUGUCCAAAAUGACCCUGGGUCACUAACGAACUGACACGUGUUCCAACGGUCAGAUUUCAAACACACACGGCAACUUUACUUGAGCUGCAAGCAAAGAUGACUCAUCCAGCUCUGGAUAAGAUUUGCCCUCAUUGUCUUCGCUCGAAGACAUAGGAUUUGGGUUGAGUAUCACUUCAGUCACUCUGACUUUGUUCACUUGGACCCCACUUAACAGUACGGUGGUUCCUAUGACUCAACAAAGAAGAAAAGGAAACAAUGAAACGACUAAGUCUUCGUGCUCCACAGUCUUCACGCGAUGUCUUCUCUUGUCAUAGUCUUCAAUAUGAAUAUCUUCACAUACCACCAUUGUCGUCAAUGUCUUCAUACAUUUUUAGGGGUCAUCUCCGGUAGGUAAACCGAAUCAAGGAGGGACCAAUACCUGUGCUAUCCUGCAAUUCUCACAAACACAUUAGUCCCUCAAUCAGGUUUGUCGUCAAUACUCCAAAACCAACUAGGGGUGGCACUAGAUGCACUUACAAAGGGGCUCUGUGGGAGCAGCCCGAUCUUUCUUCUUUGUCUUUCUCUUAUUGGUCGGUGGAGCAUUGUCAGUGGUGUUCUUGGACUUGCGCUUUCUGGCUUCGGCUUCAGCUGCCCUUGUUUUCUUGAGUUCUGAAGCAACUUUGGGGACCUUAGGCUUCGAGCCUGUCAUGCUGGCGGGGAAGACAAUGUGAGGUUCUUCCAGCCUGGAUGCUUCAGUUGGGGCCACAACAGGCUUCUUCUUCUUGGCAGCCAUCUUGGGGUCGAUGCUAGGAUGCCCAAGUGCCUUGCGCUUCUCGGCUUCAUUGUAAGCUUGAAGACAUUUGGCAGCGAGGUGUUUCAUCCACUCUCGUGAACCUUUUGCUUCUUCAUGUUUCUUGUGGAACGCCUCCUUGAGCUCAUGCAUCAUUUGCUUGAAGCUUUGGGCAUCAAUCACACUGAGCUUGGCCAUGUGCGUCUUGAACUGGGCUUUUUCAUAGUCAAUUUUGUUCUUCAGUUCAACAAUCCUCUGAGCUAGAGCCAGCUCAGGAGCAAUGGCUCCAUGGAAGGAGACGCUGAGGCCAAUUGGGAGCUGAAGAUCAUCAAAACUGAGGUUUGGGCUAUCAAACCACUCAUCAAUGAAAUUGUUCAGGAUGUCCACAUCGAAGAGGGGCAGAUCGUUGAAGAUUUUCGCCUCUUUCUUGCUCUUUAUCAGCAGCUCGAGAGCAUCGUCGCCAAGAUCUUCAUCACUUGACAGAUCUAUGGCUUCGUUCUCAUUCCUCAGAACGGCAGCUGGGGUCAAUGCUUGACCAGUAAUCUGCAUGGGCUUUUUCUUCUUUUCAGUCUUGGAGAUGCGAGAGAGAUCUUCAGAAUGCACACUUGGUGCAGGAGGAGCAGUGGCCAGAGGCUUCGCACGCGAAGCUCUUGGGGCAGUGGAGGGCUUUGAAGCCUUGGGUUUCUUCUGCUUCUGUGGCUUGGGUGGAGCAGGCGCUUCAUCAGAAUCAGCGUCGUCUGCAGAGUGCUCCACAGCUUCCCCCUGAACAGCAAUAUGAGUCAUGAGGCCUCAGAAUCAAGGUUGUAGAAGGGCCAGAUGAUAUUGGGUUCAACAUCGCGUGUGCCAUCAGCCUGAGGAGCAGAGGGACCGGGGUUGAAGCCUAAUCCCAGCGACUUCUUGUUCUUCGCUGCAGAGUCCUUGGCAAACUUGUAGUUGCGCUUGAACAGAUUGUCUUCACGGCACCAUAGCAGAGAAGAUGGGUCGACAUCUGCAGGCUGUGGUCCACGGACCAUGCAAGGGUAGAAACCCUAAGCAAUAGCUUCAGAUUUGGUCUUGGGUUGAAGAUUUUUAUAGAGAAUAUCUCCCCAAGGACGCUUGAUGGCAUUCUUUUCAGCAUAUUCCUUGGUGACGAAUCUGUACUUGAACCAUUGCUCGGCCCAAUAUCUUCGAAUCUAUUGGAUUCAUGUUUUGCGUUGGCCAUAGCUUUCUUCAGGAUCUGUUUUGUAUAACUCAUAAAGAUCUUCAAGCAAAUCCAUCGAAGUGCCCCCGCGAUGCUGUCUGCCUCCCUUCCUUGCUGACUUUUCUGUGGCCAUGUAGUUCAGACUGAAUGGAUUCAAAGCUAUCAAAGGCUUCUGUCUGCUGGUCAGACAAGAACUAGCUUCGGGAGAAUUGAUGUGAUGCUGUAAGAAUUCUACAAAUGAAUGCAGACUAUGAGAACCAAGGGAUUCUCCUACGGACAUGUACCUAUGACAGCAUCAGAGAUGCGGGGGAAGGGGAAGAGGUCAUAUGCAUUCUCAGAAGAUUUUGAAGAUAAAUUAGUUUUGAAGACAUUGACCUCAUAGCGCGAAGAUAUUCACAUAUAUGUUGAGAGUUGGUUCCAGAUUUGUACGAAUCCGAGAAUAGGUACAAGUGAGGAAUCUAACUAUGUGUGAAGUGAUGACCCACAAGUAUAGGGGAUCUAUCGUAGUCCUUUUGAUAAGUAAGAGUGUCGAACCCAACGAGGAGCAGAAGGAAAUGAUAAGCGGUUUUCAGCAAGGUAUUCUCUGCAAGUACUGAAAUAAGUGGUAACAGAUAGUUUUGUGAUAAGGUAAAUUGUAACGAGCAACAAAUAACUAAAGUAAAUAAGGUGCAGAAAGGUGGCCCAAUCCUUUUUGUAGGAAAGGACAAGCCGGAACAAACUCUUAUAUAAGGAAAAGCGCUCCCAAGGACACAUGGGAAUAUCGUCAAGCUAGUUUUCAUCAUGUUCAUAUGAUUCGCACUCGGUACUUUGAUAAUUUGAUAUGUGGGUGGACCGGUGCUUGGAUGCUAUUCUUACUUGAACAAGCAUCCCACUAAUGAUUAACCUCUAUUGCAAGCAUCCACAACUACGACAAAAGUAUUAACGUAAACCUAACCAUAGCAUGAAACAUGUGGAUCCAAAUCAUCCCCUUACGAAGCAACGCAUAAACUAGGGUUUAAGCUUCUGUCACUCUAGCAACCCAUCAUAUACUUAUUACUUCCCAAUGCCUUCCUAUAGGCCCAAAUAAUGGUGAAGUGUUAUGUAGUCGACGUUCACAUAACACCACUAGAGGCUAGACAACAUACAUCUUAUCAAAAUAUCGAACGAAUACCAAAUUCACAUGACUACCAAUAGCAAGACUUCUCCCUUGUCCUCAGGAACAAACGUAACUACUCACAAAGCAUAUUCAUGUUCAUAAUCAGAGGGGUAAUAAUAUGCAUAAAGGAUCUGAACAUAUGAUCUUCCACCAAAUAAACCAACUAGCAUCAACUACAAGGAGUAAUCAACACUACUAGCAACCUACUAGCACAAUUCCCGGACUUGGAGACAAGAAUUGGAUACAAGAGAUGAACUAGGGUUUGGAGAUGAGAUGGUGCUGGUGAAGAUGUUGGUGGAGAUUGCCCUCUCCCGAUGAGAGGAGCGUUGGUGAUGAUGAUGGUGGUGAUUUCCCCCUCCAGGAGGGAAGUAUCCCCGGCAGAACAGCUCUGGGGGAGCUCUAGAUUGGUUUCGCCAAGGUUCCACCUCGUGGCGAUGGAGUCUCGUCCCGAAAGGUUCCUUGUUAUUUUCCAGCCCAGAAUCCCAGCUGCCGGCAUUCUCCCUCCUUAUGUAAACCUUGUAAAAUAAGAGAGAAUAGCCAUAAGUAUUGUGACAUAAUGUGAAAUAACAGCCCAUAAUGCAAUAAAUAUCGAUAUAAAAGCAUGAUGCAAAUUGGACGUAUCAUGAAGCAUAAGUGAAUAUACUAGGCAUAUUAUGAGAUGCGGAACAGGAUAGAUCCAAAUUUGUAGCCACAGAAACCACUUUUGGUGAAGAAGAAUGAAUCUAUCGGAUCAAAAGGGCAGUAAACGUGAGUUUUAAUUACCACACGAAGAACUGCUAGACGGAGUAGAGAGGAGGCCGAGCAGUUCGAUCUUCCGUGCCCUAACUUGGCGACCUAGGACACCUACGGCGGCAGACGAGAAGACGAGGUCCGCGGUCGGCAUGAGGACGGCGUCGGUGAGGUCGCGGCAGCUAAGCGCUUCGUCGCCGGCGUCGUCGAGAGCUAGCGGUGGCGCUAGGGUUUGUCCGAGGUGGAGAGGUGGAAGAAGUAUUUUUGACCGUGAUGUGAUAUGUAUUUAUAAGGAAAGGGACAGCACAGCGCAAUUACGCAGUUGCCCCUGGCAGUUCACAUCUGAGGGACACGUGGCGAACAUGCAACACAUUGAAAGUUAUUCCAUGUUCCCACGCACGCCUGGACUGUCUGGUGGUCGUUCCGGCUUCUCCGGGUUUCAGGCAAUAAGGAUUGAGCAUUUAAAACAGAUUCAAUGUUUGUCUCUGUAUCUUCUGCUGACAAGGACGCAAAGAAGACAUUGACGGUUUCAAUAGAAUGCAUAUGAUUUGGAUAGAUAGAAUUUGAGGUAGAAGCAUAGAAGAUGUUAGGGUCCGAUCACAUUCACUUAGUCCAAAAGAUUCAAACAAGAAGACAUAGCUAUAAGUGAAUGCUGUAGAGGACAGAACACAAAUAUAUGUAUAUAUUUGAGUAAGAUUAAAUCAACAAAGUUAAGAUCAACAUGAAGACGGAUCAAUGUUGAAGAUAAAUCAAAUGCGAAGACUUAGCAAAUUCAACACCAAGAGAAAACACUCCAAACAAAACUUUGGUGGUGGCGUUACCCACCGUAUAGGAAGUAUUAGACCCAGACAUGGCCACAAUUAUCGUGGUGCUCCGAAGUCAAUUCUGCAUUAAUGUAUUCACACUCAGUGUGUAAGUCUUCAUUGAUUGAAAAUAUACAUUACUUCGUGUGUUGCACAUCUAAGCCAUCAACAUGCAUAAGUGUUAGGAUGUGUGCCUAAUCACAGGACUUUCAAGGACUCCAAGAUAUUUAGCUCACACCGCAACUUGCAAAACCUUUUCUCAUCCAAGGGCUUCGUGAAGAUAUCUGCUGAUUGUUCUUCAGUGUUGACGUGAAUGAUAUCAAUAUCUUCCUUCAUGACAUGAACUCUGAGAAAGUGAUGACGAAUCUCAAUGUGUGUUGUCUUCGAGUGCUAAACUGGGUUGCUGGCAAUCUCGAUGGUGCUUUCAUUGUCGCAGUAGAGAGGUACUUAUUUCAGAUGGAUGCCAUAGUCCUUGAGUGUUUGCUUCAUCCAUAGAAGCUGAGCGCGGCAAGAUCCAGCAACAAUAUAUUCAGAUUCAGCAGUGGAGAGCGAUACACAGUUCUGCUUCUUUGAAGACCAACAGACAAGUGAUCGUCCCAGAAAGUGACAUAUGUCUGAUGUAGACUUGCGAUCCACCUUGUCACCAGCAUAAUCAGCAUCCGAGAAUCCAACUAGAUCAAACUCUGAGCCCUUUGGAUACCAUAAUCCUAGUGUUGGGGUGUAAGCAAAAUAUCGAAGAAUUCGCUUCACAGCUAAGUGAUGCGAUUCCUUUGGUGCCGCUUGGAAUCGGGCACACAUGCGAACACUAAGCAUUAUAUCUGGCCUAGAUGCACAUAAAUAAAGUAAGAAGCAAUCAUGGAGCGGUAUACCUUUUGAUCGAACUCUUUACCAUUGGCGUCAGGACCCAGAUGACUUUUGGUUGGCCUUGGCGUCGUGUAACCUCUGCAGUCUUGCAUUCCAAACUUCUCCAGACAGUCUUUGAGAUAUUUCUCUUGAGAUAUGAAGAUGUCGUUGCUUUGCUGACGAAUUUGAAGACCAAGGAAGAACUUCAGCUCACCCAUCAUGGACAUCUGAUAUUGCUCUUGCAUCAUGUGUCCAAACUCAUCACUGUAUUUCUGGUUAGUGCAGCCGAAGAUAAUGUCAUCCACAUAUAUUUGGCACACAAACAAUUCACCAUCAUGUGUCUUUGUGAAGAGUGUGGGAUCCAGGGAACCAAGUUUGAAGCAUUUGCUCUUCAGGAAGUCUUUGAGUGUGUCAUACCAAGCACGAGGGGCAUGUUUGAGGCCAUACAGUGCCUUGUUAAGUUUGUAUACCAUAUCAGGAUGUUUUGGAUCUUCAAAGCCAGGUGGUUGUGCAACAUACACUUCUUCAAUAUUGCCAUUUAGAAAGGCAUUCUUCACAUCCAUUUGCUACAGAAGGAUGUUGUGAUGAUUUGCAUAAGCUAGCAAUAUGCGAAUGGCUUCAAGCCUAGCCACCGGAUCAAAUGUUUCAUCGAAGUCAAUCCCUUCUACUUGAGUGUAUCCUUGAGCAAUGAGACGAGCCUUGUUUCUGACAACUUGACCAUUCUCAUCUUGCUUGUUGAGAUAUAUCAAUUUGGUGCCAAUGAUAUUGUGCUUACGAGGAUCAGGACGCUUGACCAAUUCCUAUACAUUGUUCGGCUUGAACUGUUGGAGCUCUUCUUGCAUAGCUUGAAUCCAUUCAGGUUCCAUGAAGGCUUCAGCAACUUUCUUGGGUUUUGAUAUUGAAACAAACGCAAAGUGCCCACAGAAAUUUGCUAGCUGUGUUGCUUUUGAACAAGUGAGUGGACCAGGUGCAUUGAUGCUAUCAAUUAUCUUCUCAUUCUGUACUUCAUUUGAAACACGAGGAUGAACUGGACGAAGAUUUUGCUCUUGCUGAUCAAUGUCAUCAUUUGGAGAAUUGUCUUCAGGUUGAUUAGGUGCAGAAAUGAUGAGUUCCUCUUUAGCCUAAGCCUCAGAAGGUAUGAUCUCUCCAGUUCCCAUGAGCUUGAUGGAUUCACUGGGUGGAACUUCAUCUAGCACAUUGAGCCAUUUGAAGGAAAUAUGCCCUAGAGGCAAUAAUAAAGUUAUUAUUUAUUUCCUUAUAUCAUGAUAAAUGUUUAUUAUUCAUGCUAAAAUGGUAUUAACCGGAAACAUGAUACUUGUGUGAAUACAUAGACAAACAGAGUGUCACUAGUAUGCCUCUACUUGACUAGCUCGUUGAUGAAAGAUGGUUAUGUUUCCUAGCCAUAGACAUGAGUUGUCAUUUGAUUAACGGGAUCACAUCAUUAGGAGAAUGAUGUGAUUGACUUGACCCAUUCCAUUAGCUUAGCACUUGAUUGUUUAGUAUUCUGCUAUUGCUUUCUUCAUGACUUAUACAUGUUCCUAUGACUAUGAGAUUAUGCAACUCCCGUUUACCGGAGGAACACUUUGUGUGCUACCAAAUGUCACAACAUAACUGGGUGAUUAUAAAGGUGCUCUACAGGUGUCUCCAAAGGUACUUGUUGGGUUGGCGUAUUUCGAGAUUAGGAUUUGUCACUCCGAUUGUCGGAGAGGUAUCUCUGGGCCCACUCGAUAAUGGACAUCACUAUAAGCCUUGCAAGCAUUGUAACUAAUGAGUUAGUUGCGGAAUGAUGUAUUACAAAACGAGUAAAGAGACUUGCCGGUAAUGAGAUUGAACUUGGUAUUGAGAUACCGACGAUCAAAUCUCGGGCAAGUAACAUACCGAUGAUAAAGGGAACAACGUAUGUUGUUAUGCGGUUUGACCGAUAAAGAUCUUCGCAAAAUAUGUAGGAGCAAAUAUGAGCAUCCAGGUUCUUCUAUUGGUUAUUGACCGAAGACAUAUCUCGGUCAUGUCUACAUAGUUCUCGAACCCGUAGGGUCCUCACGCUUAAAGUUAGAUGACGAUCGGUAUUAUGAGUUUUGUGUUUUGAUGUACCGAAGGUAGUUCAGAGUCCCAGAUAUGAUCAUUGACAUGAUGAGGAGUCGCGAAAUGGUCGAGACAUAAAGAUUGAUAUAUUGGACGACUAUGUUCGGACACCGGAAUGGUUUCGGGGAGUUUCGGACAUAUACCGGAGUACCGGGGGGUUACCGGAACCCCCCGGGAGUUUAAUGGGCCAAGAUGGGCCUUAGUGGAGAAGAGGAGGAGCGUCUAGGGCUGGCCGCACGCCCCCUCCCCCUCUAGUCCAAAUUGGACAAGGAGGGGGGGCGGCGCCCCCUUUCCUUCCCCCUCUCUCCUUCCCUUCCUUUCCCCCUCCUACUCCAACUAGGAAAAGAGGGAGUCCUACUCCCGGUGGGAGUAGGACUCCUCCCUGGCGCGUCCUCCUCCUGGCCGCCGGCUUCCUCCCCCUGAUCCUUUAUAUACGGGGGCAGGGGGCACCUCUAGACACACAAGUUGAUCUGUUGCUCUAGUCCAGCCGUGAGCGGUGCCCCCUCCACCAUAUUCCACCUCGGUCAUAUCGUAGUGGUGCUUAGGCGAAGCCCUGCGUCGGUAGCAACAUCAUCAUUGUCACCACGCCGUCGUGCUGCCGGAACUCUCCCGUGAAGCUCUACUGGAUCGGAGUUCGCGGGACGUCAUCGAGCUGAACGUGUGCUGAACACGGAGGUGACGUACGUUCGGUACUUGGAUCGGUCGGAUCAUGAAGACGUACAACUACAUCAACCGCGUUGUGCUAACGCAUCCGCUUUCGGUCUACGAGGGUACGUGGAUAAUACACUCCCCUCUUGUUGCUAUGCAUCACCAUGAUCCUGUGUGUGCAUAGGAAUUUUUUGUGAAAUUACUACGUUCCCCAACACCGUUAGUCUCAUCGAACCGCACUUCCACAGUUUCAACCACUUUAUAGUGAAAGAGGUUGAAGACUCUGUAGGAGUGCGAAUUAUUUCCGUAACCAAGCAUAAAACCUUCAUGUGCUUUCGGUGCAAAUUUUGAAGUGUGAUGUGGAUCCUUGAUCCAGCACCUAGCACCAAAUACUCUGAAGUAACUGACAUUUAGCUUCUUACCAGUAAGGAGUUCAUAGGAUGUCUGCUUCAGAAGCUUGUGAAGAUAAACAUGGUUGAUGACAUGACAUGUAGUAUCAUUGGCUUCAGGCCAGAACUUUCUUGGAGUCUUGUAUUCAUCAAGCAUCGUCCGAGCCAUCUCAAUGAGUGUUCUGUUCUUGCCCUCCAUGAUGCCAUUCUGCUGUGGAGUGUACGGAGCAGAGAACUCAUGAGUGAUUCCUAGCAUAGCAAGAUAAGUGUCGAGGCCUGUGUUCUUGAACUAUGUGCCAUUGUCACUCCGGAUGUGCUUGAUCUUGAUGUCAUAGUUCAUCAUGGCACGAUUUGCAAAGCCUUUGAAGACAUCCUGCACUUCAUUCUUGUAAAAGAUUAUAUACACCCAUGUAUAUCUUGAGUAAUCAUCAACUAUGAUGAAACCAUAGAGGAAAGCAGUAGGAGUGAGAGUUGAGUAGUGAGUAGGUCCAAAGAGAUCCAUGUGAGGCAGCUCGAAGGGUUGAGAUGUCGUCAUGAUUGUCUUCGAGGGAUGCUUGGCCCUCGUCAUCUUUCCAGCUUCGCAAGCACCGCACAUAUGAUCCUUCUUGAACUUGACGCCCUCGAUGCCUAUGACGUGCUUCUUCUUUGCAAGAGUGUGCAAGUUCCUCAUGCCAUCAUGCCCUAGCCUCUGAUGCCAGAGCCAGCACUCUGAAGCUUUUGCUAGAAGACAUACAGCCAACUGUGGUCCUGCUGAGAAAUCUACCAUGUAUAAAUCACCUUUUCGAUACCCUUCAAAGACUAGAGACUUGUCAGAUUUCAUUAGAAAAGGCAACGAUAUUUUCCAAAUAUCACAAUCAUGUUCAAAUCACAAAGCAUUAAGACAGACAUUAAGUUGAAACCAAGGGAUUCAACAAGCAUCACUUUAUUCAUGUGCUGAUCCUUUGAGAUUACAACUCUACCUAGACCCAGUACCUUGCUUUUACCAGUGUUAGCAAAUGUGAUGUGACUCUUGUCGGAUGGACGUAAUGUUGAGUCCAUGAGAAGACUUCGGUCACCAGUCAUGUGAUUAGUGCAUCCACUGUCCAUAAUCCAUUCGGAAGCAUGAGGUGUCAGAACCUACAAUACAGUUAGGGGGAUAGACUUCACCAAGAGAAUUGUGAAGCAUAAACAUUUGACGCACAAGAGGAUUGUCAAAGCUCAGAUCAAGGUUAGGACUAAUAGGAUGAUUGGCAAGCGAUUCAGGAACAAAAUACAUAGUAAGACCAUUUGGGCAUUUAAUCUUGCGCCCCACAAGAUGUUUUAGGUCCCCAGCAAAAGCAUCGGACGCCUUUGAUUUCCAGCUGGAGACCUUUCCCUGCAAAAUAAAGUUAAUUUUUCUUAACCACCCACAUUUUCAGGGGUGGAUUAGAAGCAAUGAGUCUAAGUGCAGCAUCUGAGAACUUCGGCUUUGGAGCCCUAGCAAAUAGCCUUGCAGGAGGUGAAUAGUACUUGUAUGAAUAAGCAGAAUAGUUCUUAGUCUUAUGAACAUAGCGGUUUGAUGAUACACGCUCAUAUUCAUAAGUUUGAGUAUAAUUUCCUUGAAAAACAUUGGCAUUAGGGUGACUCAGGUGAGUCCUCUGUCUGUAUGAAGCCUUUGAGCCAUAUGAAGCAUUUGGUCUGGGGUUUGUCUUCUUCACUUGUGGUGUCAUGAUGAUAUUCACAAGAAGAUUCUCAAGACACUUUUUGGGCACCCAGAUCUUCUUCAUAGGUGGUCCAUUCCUGCAGUUAGUACCAAUAUCACCAUAGCCAUUCCUGCAGUUAGUACCGAUAUUAGCAUAAGUGAAGCCAGAUAAGGUGGAUGGAUCCAUUGAAGGUCCCUUUGCAGCAACCCAUGUGGUUUUGGGGUAGUGCUCAGGCUUCCAGUAAGAACCAUCAACAUUCAUUUUCCACUCGAACCCAACACCCUCUUUUCUAGGAUUUCGGUUCAGAAUCUGCUUUUUGAGGACAUCACAUAAUGUCUGAUGCCCUUUGAGACUUUUAUACAUCCCAAUCUCAAGCAAUGUCUUCAACCUAGCAUUUCCAUCAGCAAUAGUAGUGUGAUUCUUAGCAGAGGGGUUAGUAACCACAUCAGCAGUUGAAGAUAUUGUGACAGUGGCAGCAAUAGAACAUUCAGCAACAAAAGUAGUGUUGUCACGCUCAAGGCAUUUUAGACAUGGUGGUUCAAAUCCUUCCUGAGCGGGACUGAUCUGUUGAGCGUGAAGUGACUCGUUCUCUUUUUGAAGAUCUUCAUGAACUGCUCUCAAUUUCUCUAGUUCUUCCUUCCUUUGAAGAUAAUCAUAGAAAAUCUUUUUAUGAGUUGUUGAGAGCGUUUCAUGACGACUUUCAAGUUCCUCAUACUUAACAUGAAGAUUUUUUAUGUCUUCAAUUAAGGACUAAGAUUGGGUCAUUUCCGUGUCGAACAGAUCAUUGCUUUUGUCUAUCAGUUUUUGAAUAUGUUCCAUAGCUUUCUGUUGUUCAGUUGCAAUUUUAGCAAGAGUUUUGUAGCUGGGUUCGGAUUCACAAUCAGAGUCAUCUUCACUUGAUGUUUGAAAGUAAGCAUCGCGUGAGUUUACCUUGGCACCACGUGCCAUGAAGCAGUAGGUGGGAGCGGAGUCGUCCUUGUUAUUAGUAUCAGCGUUGGUGACGGAGCCAUUGUCUUCAGUGUUGAAGAUGGACUUGGCAACGUAGGCUGUAGCUAGAGCCAGCCUUGCAACGACAGAGUCGGACUCCUCCUCAGACUCCACCUCUGCCUCCUCAGAAGCAGACUCCUCCUCUGAAUCCAUCUUCUUGCCAACAAAAGCACGAGCCUUGCCAGAUGAGCUCUUCUUAUGUGAUGAAGACUUGGAGGAAGACUUGGAAGAAGACUUUGAGGAUUUUUUCUUCUUCUUGUCAUAAAAAUCAUAUUCUUUGUUCUUGUUCUUCUUGUUGUUCUCAUUGUCCCAUUGUGGACCCUCAGAGAUGUAAUGACUAGGUUUCUUGCACUUGUGGCAUGUUUUCUUCUUGUGGUCAUGAGUGGAAGCUUCAUCAUUUCUCGAGCUGGAUCUUAAAGACUUUCUAAAGCCUUUCUUCUUGGUGAAUUUCUGGAACUUUUUCACAAGCAUAGCAAGCUCCCUUCCAAUGUCUUCAAGAUCCCCAGAACUGCAGUCAGAUUCUUCUUCGGAAGAGGAAGCAGCUUUUGCCUUCAAAGCGCGAGUACGUCCAUAGUUGGGACCACAGAUGUCUAUUUUCUCAAAUAGCUGAAACACAUCUGUGUUGAGCCUCUCAAGUAUGUCAGAUGGAUCGAGUGUCUUGAAGUCAGGGCAUUCUUGAAUCAUCAGGGCUAGUGUAUCAAACGAGCUGUCAAGGGAUCUCAGAAAUGUCUUGAGGAUUUCAUGCUUGGUGAUCUCAGUAGCGCCAAGUGCAUGAAGCUCAUUGGUGAUAUCAGUGAGGUGAACAAAUGUGAGCUGGACAUUCUCAUUGUCAUUUCUCUUGAAGCGGUUGAAGAGGUUGCAAAGGACACUGAUCAUUUGAUCUCUCUGGGUUGAGACGCCUUCGUUGACCUUGGAGAGCUAGUCCCAGACUAGCUUUGAAAUUUCCAGAGCACUCACACGGCCAUACUGUCUUUUGGUCAGAUGACUGCAGAUGAUGUUUUUCGCAGUAGAAUCCAGUUGAAUGAACUUCUUGACAUCAACAGGAGUGACGCCUUCACCGCCCUUGGGAACGCUGUUCUUGAUGACAUACCAAAGGUCAACAUCAAUGGCUUCAAGAUGCAUGCACAUCUUAUUCUUCUAGUAGGGGUAACUAGUGCCAUCGAAGACAGGGCACGCAGCGGAGACUUUGAUUAUCCCUGCAGUCAACAUAGCUAAAACUCCAGGUGGUUAAACCAAAUCACACAAAACAAGAAAGUACCUCGCUCUGAUACCAAUUGAAAAUGCUAGUUAUCGACUAGAGGGGGGUGAAUAGGCAAUUUUUAUGAAAGUCUUCAAAACAUGGAAGUUUCAAAGACAAACGAUAUAAGUGAACCUAUUAACAUGCAACGGAAGGUAGACUACACUAGGCAAGCCAUAUUCAAUUAUUCAAUGAAGUGAAAGCACGAAGACUAAUAGCAGCUAGGUAGAAAGGAUCAGGAUGGAAGACAGUAUGAAGCCAGACAACAAUAGUCGUCACAUAGUGAAGAUAACAGAUAAUGCAAGCAGGCAAUGACUUCACGAAGACAACUAUAAUUAAAAAGAGGGAGAAGAUAGAACCAGUCACUUGGUGAGGACAACGAUUUGUUGGACUAGUUCCAGUUGCUGUGUUGUACGUCUGGUUAGGGAUGCUGAGAUUCAACUCAGAAGACCGUGUCUUCACCUUAUUCCCCUUGAGCUAAGGACACCUAGUCCUCGCCCAAUCACUCGGGUAAGUCUUUAAGGUAGACUUCCAAGCCUUCACAGACUUCGUUCACCGGCAAUCCACAAUGACUCUUGGAUGCUCAGAACGCGAUGCCUAACCGGCUGGAGGAUUCACAGUCCUCAAGUAUAACAAGUCUUCAAGCCACGCGGACAGUAAGAUUUCAGUGAUGCCUAACACUCUUUGGCUCUGGGUGUUUUAGGCUUUGUCCUCGCAAGGAUUUCUCUCUCUCAAAAGCUUCGGAGGUGGGUUGCUCUCAAAUGACAAAAGUCGUGCACUAACUCUGAGCAGCCACCAAUUUAUGGUGUAGGGGUGGGCUAUUUAUAGCCACUAGGCAACCUGACCUGAUUUGUCCGAAAUGACCCUGAGUCACUAAGGAACUGACAUGUGUUCCAACGGUCAGAUUUCAAACACACACGGCAGCUUAACUUGGGCUACAAGUAAAGCUGACUCAUCCAGCUCUGGACAAGAUUUGCUCUCAGUGUCUUCGCUCAAAGACAUAGGAUUUGGUUGAGCAUCACUUCAGUCACUCUGACUUUGUUCACUUGGACCCCACUUAAUAGUACAGUGGUUCCUAUGACUCAACAAAGAAGAAAAGAAAACUACAAACAACUAUGUCUUCGCACUCCAUAGACUUCACGUGAAUGUCUUCUUGAGUCAUAAACUUCAACGUGAUUGUCUUCACAUACCACCAUUGUCUUCAAUGUUUCCAUACAUUUUUAGGGGUCAUCUCCGAUAGGUAAAGCGAAUCAAGGAGGGACUACUACCUGUGUUAUCCUGCAAUUCUCACAAACACAUUAGUCCCUCAACCAGGUUUGUUGUCAAUACUCCAAAGCCAACUAGAGGUGGCACUAGAUGCACUUACACCGACUUACCGGGCACCACAACGUGAAAAACGGUGUUGGACGGCUUAAGAUUUUUGUCGAUUAAUCCCAUGCGACGGAAGGUUUCGUAGUAAUGUAUAUUAAUGCUGCUACCCCCAUCCAUGAGCACCUUAGUAAAUUUAUAGCCCCCAACCUGAGGCGCCACCACUAGAGUCAGGUGACCCGGAUUGUCAACCCGGGGCGGGUGAUCCUCACGGCUCCAUACUAUAGGCUGCUCCGACCAUCGCAACUAACGUGGUACUGCCGGCUCAACAGCAUUUACUGCCCUCUUAUGAAGUUUCUGGUCCCGCUUACAUAAGCUAGUGGUGAAGACGUGGUAUUACCCACUAUUUAAUUACUUCGGGUUGCUCUGAUAACCAGACUGUUGCUCCUGAUGAUUCCCUUGAUUAUUCUGCUGUUUGUAACCACCUUGAUUGCCUUGGCCGUGAAACCCGAAACUUGAGCCGCCACCUCCAUGACCCGGACCAUGAGGGCCGGACCUGAACCGCCGUUCGGACCAUGGUUGUGUUGGAAAGACUUCCUGAACUGUCUCAUAAUGUUGCAAUUCUUCCACAGAUGCGUAGACGGCUUCUCCUGUGUUCCAUGCUUCGGACAUGGCUGAUGCAUUAUCGCUUCAAGGUCAAAUUUUUUCCCUUGAGCCGGCCUCCCCUUACGACGCUGGUUAUAAUUCCGUGCACCGGUGUUAGCCACAAAAUCAUCAGCUUUACGCUUACCGUUACCGCCCUGAUUGGCCGGGUUGUGUUGCUGUCCCCUCAUACCGCUACUCUUAUUUCCCUUUCCCGAUCUUUCAUCCUCAGAGUCAGGGUCCUUGGUACUAUCAGAGUCGGCAUACUUGACAAGAGCCGCCAUUAGCUCCCCCAUGUCACUGCAAUGACGUUUAAGCCGCCCAAGCUUCUCCUUGAGUGGAAGGAAACGACAAUUUUUCUCCAACAUUAAAACCGCUGAGCCGACGUUGAUGUUAUCUGAAGAAUGUAUGAUAGUCGAGACCUGACGCACCCAGCUGGUCGUCGACUCGCCCUCAGCUUGAACACAGGAGACCAAAUCCACGAUCGACAUAGGCUGCUUACACGUAUCUUUGAAAUUUUGGAUAAACCAGGCCUUCAGCUCUGCCCAUGAAUCAACGGAGUUGGCAGGUAGCCCUUUCAACCAAGUACGAGCCGUUCCUUCCAUCAUCAUGGUGAAAUACUUACCAUAUGCGGCUUCACUAGCAUCCAGCAUCUCCAUAGCCAUUUCAUAACUUUCCACCCAAGACUCCGGAGGUUGAUCUGCUGUGUAAUUAGGCACCUUAUGAGGGCCUUUAAAGUCCUUGGGCAAACGCUCAUUACGCAGAACCGCCGUUAAUCAUGGCGCUCCCCAAGCUCUAGAGGUCACACCUGCCUCUACCGAAGUCGUCGGGUAAACCGGCGCAUGCUGAUGAGCCGCCAGCUCGGCCUCCUGAGGCGGUCUACCCGGAUCCACAAAAUUCUAGGCAUUGGCCCCAUUGCGCGCCGGGUCAUGCCCACGAGGCUGAUUACGACACUGCUCAGUACUUGAAACUGCUGGCGAGUCAGUGUGCCUGCUGUAGCUCCGGCUUGGACGAGGGGUCAAAUGAAUCCGAUCACGACUAUAAAAAUAAGUCUGCUGUUGUACCAGUGCUGUUUGAAGAAGUUCCCUGGCCCUUCGAGUUUCAACCGCCGUCAGAGUCUCGACCUCGACUGGCAGAGCCGUCAAUCGCGUAGCUGCAGCAAUCAUAUUGUCCAAAGGGUUGGAAUAAUGACCCGGAGGCGUUUCCACAUGCUAAGGUGGGGUGCUAUUCAUAUGCGGAGAACCUGUCACGCGCGGCUGAACCGGCGCUCUACCCCUUGGCGCUUCAGCCACCUGGUUUAUUACCGGCAGGUUACUGGCCCUUGUUCCAGAUGUGUUGAAGAGGUUCCUUGACUCAUAAACCAAGGGCAGACAACUCCGAUUUUUUCUUCUCCAGACCUCGUUUGCAGCAUUCUGAUCCACCGUGAGCCGGUAUGAAUCCGCUGUGCUUGGGCGUUCAAAACGGCGUGUUCUGCAAUCAUCCUACCGUUCUCCACUGCCAGCUCUUCCUUGGCUUGUGCUAUCUCAUCACACAGUUUAGCCACAUCCAUCUUAUGUUGUUCCUAGUUGUCCGGGGUUACCUCUACCUCCAUCAGAGUCGCCAGAGUCUCCAACAGAUCUGACAAGACUUGAGCCAGCGGGCAUGCUGAUCCACCAGCACUUGCUGCUGUUACUACCGCUGCGCUGGAAGUCAUGGCCGAAGAGGAUGUCGAACCGAGAACCGGCUAGGUGCUAGCCAUGAAGAUCGCUACCCUGUUCGGCGGCUCACGGGGGUCCGGAAUACUAUCACCAUAAGAAUGAAGAGAACCGAAGAUAUUGUAAAACUGUCUCACCACCAUGUUUUAGUCAAGAACAAGUUGAGAAAUAAGAUGGGUGAUAGUCUUUUGGAUAAUUGCCAAGUCACAUAUAUUAUGCUGGAUGUUUUUUCUAUGGUGAAUGAAGAUGAUUUAAUUGAUACUUUCAUGGUUAACUGCUCAAGGUAUGUACUGUAUGUAGGCUUCUUUUAUGCAAAACUGAGACUUGAAUGAGAAUUUUAGUGUGCUUUUAAGAUCAUAUUUAUCUAUUUCUGUGAAAUAUGUAAUUAGUUAAAAUGUUUACAUGGCAUAGUUGUCAAAAAAAAUGGAGACGGACCACCCCGGUGUCAAAUACUAGCUCCGCCACUGACCAUCGCCCCAGCCAACCAGAUAGAUGGAUGCAAAGGGUAAGGAUUCCCACCCCAAACCGCCAGCCCCUGCUGUUUCAGCUAGCACCCUUCCUCGUCGCUGGGGCUCGGAAUGGCAAGCAUCGAUGUUAAACUUAACGAGGACAACAAUAUCAAAUGUCAAUACAAAAAUUGAUAAUGGAUGCGAAAGUAGGAACAAAAAAACUGAACAAUAGCAACAAUAGGAAACUGCUUUUAAACUGGUUCAAUAAAAAGAUUUGACGUCAUCUUACUUUCCAAGGUCCACAAAAAGAACCACAGACAUAGUAACGCCAGGUUCACUUUUCAAGCUACAGGCCCGCAAUGUACAGAAGAGUACAUACGACUUGAUUUUUGCCAUGAGACCGCAACCAUUCACGAUUGCCAAUAAAGAUAUUCUUAAAAUCAAGAAGAAGCAAACAAAAGCUGUUCAGGAAAAUCAAGUUGUUUUUUGGAAUACUCACUGAUCCAAUUACUAUAAUCAGACAAAAGAAGUAUCAGACAGGUAUCAUAACAAACACAUGGCGCACAAGGAAUAGUUCAUAAAAUGAAGGUAAAUUUUGGAGUAUUGCUUGAAUGGCUCAGAUUUACCACACCAUGAAACACCGAAGUUGGAAAAUGCUUCAGACAGUACAACAACAACAACAACAAAGCCUUUCAGUCCCAGACAAGUUGGGAUGGGCUAGAGUUGAAACCCAUACGAUCUGGACACAUGGAUAGCUAACUUCCAUGCACCUCUGUCCAUGGCAAGAAAAACUCUCUUUCUUCACCCAGCAACAAAUAGCCGCAACUGGUAACUUGCUGCAGAGCAAGGCCUCCUAGUUUAACGACUAAUUGUCUAGCUGAGCAAAGUUGAAUGGAACCAACCUAGGAGAUGUAAAAACAUAACCAUCUCAGGAUAUGGUGAAAGAUCUCCAGCACCCCAAAGGGCGCAAGAAUCAUCAUAGCCAUUCAGUAAGGAAUAGAACUCAUCAACACACAAUGGAAACAAAUAUGCUGUGUCCAGAAGUUAAUUCAGAACAUUGUACUGAUGGUAACAUUACUACAUGAAAAAAGCAAUUGACAUUUUUUCACUUCAGAUAAAAGGAGUCACUGCAAGCAAAAUUAGAACAGGAUAACAUAAAUUUUCAUGUUUGAACCAAAAGAAGAACAUAAACUUGCAAACCAGGUUAUCACAGCACAGCAUCAACCAAAAGGGGUCCUUUACUCCAAACAGACAACAUGAAGUGCUGCUCGCUUGUUUAUCCCAUGAAAAAUGCGGUUCCAAUGCUAAAUAAUCAGGCAUGUGACAUUGGACAGUGGCAAUACUAUUCCACCAUGAAACCAAACACAUCGGUCCAACCUUUGGCAAAACGAAAACAAAACCAAAGCAAGAACACUGAAUAAAUUUGAAAAUAUAUAAGAUAUAAGAGAAGGGGGACAAUGGUUAAAGUACAAAUCCCAAAGGACCCAAGCAAAAGCUCCAAGAGCACCUUCAGUCAUGAUUAGACAAAAUAUAAGACCUUUUUAAACAAACUAAUGCAGUUGACAGGACACUCUCAUUUUAAACAACCUGUGUGGAAUCAGUUCCUCGCUAAUGCAUCAAAAUGUAAUUCAAAUAAUCAAUGUGGCAAUUUGACAGUAGCAGCUUAAAAAGAGACUAAUAACCAGUAAAAUAAAUGCUGCACUGACCAAAAUAAAACUAACGCAAUAUGAGCUUCAAUUUUUAAGAAAAGACAGAUAUCGCUGAUCAUAACUCAGUCUUUGAAGAAGCGUCUGGCAGGACAAGACAAGCAAGACAACAGUUUCUCGUUAACCACAUGAAUAGAAGUGCCAAUGGCUACAAACAUUGGAGAAAAAAGUACAAUCAUGACCACUCACGAUUGCCAAUAAGAUAUACUUUAAAAAAAGGCUGUUCAAGAAACCAAACUGUUUUCUGGUGUAUAUUUCAGAAGUACCCACAGAUAAAACUGCUAUAAUCAGGCAGAAGUACAACUGUUAGACUCAGGUACCAUAACAAAUACACGAGGAAUCCUCUAUUUCUAAAUAGCUACAACCCACUAGCUAAUUUUUCCUAACAUGCAGCCAUGCCACAUCAGCACCUAUGCAUGUCAAUCACGAAGCAUAAGUUACAUUUAUUUACAUGCAUUCCACGAUCUAAUUUUUCUAAGCAUGCAACAAUGCCACCUAAGGACCUAUGCAUGUCAAUUAUAAGUUACACCUUUUGCAUUAAUUUAACCAUGCGACAGUGCCACAUUAGCAAGCCAUACAUGUCGAUGGCGUUGAUAAGUUAUAUUUUUUGAAUUGUACAUGUCGAUGUCGUUGAUAAGUUACAUUUUUUUUAAUUGACUUUUACAUUGUCAUAUACGGCAUAUGUGGUGGAUACUUGAAGCAUACCUACAUAGUUCAUGAUUUGCAAUUUUUUUAUAGGAAUAACAUGGCAUGUUGUUAACUACACAAUGUAAAUCAAGAAUACUAUUAUUAUCUUGCAUUAGUUUAGUUGUUUUCUAGCACCUAUUAAUACAGUUAUUUUAACGAGGUUCCCGCGGCAACACACGGGGCAUCGUCUAGUAGUUCACAAAAUCCUGGGAAAAUUCUGGGGAGUACUACUUGAAUGAAUGGCUCAGAUUUACUCGAGCAUGAAUCAUGGAAGUUGACAAUGCUUAAGGUAGUACCAUAAGUAAUAAAACCUCUCUCUCUCUCCGCCCAGCAACAAAUAGCCACAACUGGUAACAUGCCGCAGAGCAAGGCCUCCUAGUUUAACGACUAACUGUCUAACUGGGCAAAGUUGAAUGGAACCAACCUAGAGACGUGAAAGACACCAAGGGGCAGAAAUCAUCAUAGCCAUUCAGAAAAGAAUAAUUAUAACCAACACAAAUGGAAACAAAUAUGCUGUGUUCAGAAGUUAAUUUGGAAGACUGCACUGAUGGCCGUAUUACUUGCAACGAAAGAAAAAUUGGCAUUUGUUACUUCAAAUAAAAGGAGUCACGGCAAGCCAAAUAAAAACAGGAUAACGUGAACUUUCUUUUUUGAACCAGAAGAAAGACAUCAAAAGGGUUAGUGCUGCAGAUUACACUGAACAUAAUGUAUACCAAAAUUAGAAUGGUAGGUUCAGAACUAAAUAAAUAUAUCUGAAUACAUUAAUAGACCAAAUGUAAUUAUUACUAUUGCUGAUGCUUGCAGUGCCGUAGUGCAGAAAAUGCGUGAAUGCAAGACCUUCCGCAAAAUAAAAUGCAGUUACGACUAAAUGGGAAUGCUGAGAGAAGAAACAGAACAUGCAUAGCAAAGGACAUACAGUUGCAAAUAAUAGAAUAGUUUGAUGAAAAGAUGUGAAACCCUCUGCCUCUUUCUAGGGCCCUCACAACACAAUUUUUUUUUAUUCAAACAAAGUAGUCCUUAGUGAUGCAUCGUUAUUUCAAAGCAUUCUUCUGUAAGCAACCACACUGUUAAGUGGAUUCUUAAUUCAAAUGUUUAACAGUAAUUGUUAGCCGCUAAACCAGUUACUUGUUGUGAUAUAAGCACUCCUAGUUUAGCACCAACUAAAUCAAUUCAGGUGUUAGAUAGAAGCACUAACAGGGAAGCUAUAUCAUCACAGCCAUUCAUGAACAUGACAUGAAGGAAACAAUAAUCUUGACAUCUGAACUUGCCCUAUAUGACCCUUAAGAAGAAAACCAGUAAAUAAAUGAGUGCCCAAAAGUACAAACUGAUAACUAGAUAAAUAGAACAGUAGCAAAAUGGAAUUAUCGAAAGUCAAAUGGCAAUUCAAACAACCAAACUGAUACAGUACCAAGUAAGAUAAUUUCUAAAAAUACCCAAGGGCAGCAUUAUUAUCACAGCCAUUCAAGGAAAAAUUAAGAACAGAAAACAAAAGGCCCGGAUGCACCAAACUGGUUCGCUUCAUGGACAACAAAAUCAUGGGAAGGCAAAGCGAACACCACGAGAGGUGAUCAGUGCGUAGUUAUUCCUAAUGAGAUGGCCCAAUGCCACAACCAUGACAAUUCAUCAAUUUGAAACAUAAAAAGGCGAUAGGGAUAAAUAGAUGUGUACACAGUAUUAGUUGCAUUGAGAUUUGAGAGGGCUCAGAUUCGCCUUUGAUAGAUCAUACAACCUAGCUCCAUCUUCUUUCACCAGAUCAACCCCACCACUGAGGUCGAGCUCCUCUGGUUAUCACUCAGCAGAAUGACCAUCCAAGACAGAGACAUCAAUAUUCAGUGAGAAUGAUAAGGUGCCAAAAGAGGGGAGAGUAGGUUUUUGAAGCCCACAGCUCCUCGAAUAAUCGAAGACAAGUUUAUGUCAGCCAUGUUUUAUCAUCAUCGCCCCAAAUAGAUAGAUAGAUAGAUAGAUGGAUCAAUGGAUGGAUAGAUUAACCAUGCUCUCAGGAGCUGCUCAUGCCUGGCAUCAGCCAACCAAACCUCCGGCUCGGACGAUGCAUCAGACAACACUGUAUGGUUGCCAGCUCACGACACAACCGAAUCCAAGGCAAUGGAAUGGCGGUGGCUGGCGGCACCAUAGCGUCAGUCCACCCAGACCAUGGGUCAGUGAGUAGGCAAUGACAGCUUGACUGAUUUGUUUUAGGAUAUAUAUAAUUAUAUAUAUAUAUAUAUAUAUAUAUAUAUAUAUAUAUAUAUAUAUAUAUAUAUAUAUGAGAGAGAGAGAGAGAGAGGAGGAGGAGGAUUCAAACCGAAUCCAAAACAAAACGCAACUGAACAGUGAAAAUUCAGUGUAUGUAGCGUAGCAAAAGAGGGCUCAGCUUUGUCAUUCAUCUUCAAACCCAACACCCACAUCUCUUGCUCCAUGACCUACCCAUCACAGUGUAAGAGAACUGCCCUGGUUGUCACUCAUCAGAACGACCGUCCAAGGCACAGAUCAUCCAACAUCAGCGACAAAUUGAGCAGGCUGCAACAGAGGUAAGGGUGGGCUCUAAGUGCAACUCCAUCGCUGACACCUACUUUUUCAGGUCUGUUUAGUCCCACAAGCCAAGGCUGUCUUGAUUGCUCAAGACAUGAUUAUUUCAGCCACAGUCAUCAUCAUCGUCGUCCUCGUCAUCGCCCCUCUUUUUGGUCCAAAAAUGACGUUGCCUCUGCACACCAAGCAACAUGACCAUGAUACCCCAUUACAUGUGUACACACAUCCAGCCAUCAAGCUCAGGAGCUGCUCAUGCCUGGAGUCGAUCGACCAAACCCCCCGGUGCGGACGGCACGUCAGACAAACAACGUACGGUUCCCAGCCAACGCCACACCCGAACCCAGGGCAAUGGAACGGCGGUCGCUGGCAGCACCGCAGCGGUGUAGAACUGACGCGUCAACCGGACGAUUGGCCAGCGAUCCGGCAACGAGAGCUCGCCUGAUUCGGCUUAGGGUUUGGGUUCAGGGGUGUGAACUGCGCGCACGCAGAGUGGGCGAGUGAGUGUGGGGGUCAGUCUCGGAGAGAGAGAGAGAGAGACGGGGAUCGUACCGGAUCCAAAGCAACAUCCAGCCAAGCUGCGAGAAAUCCAUCGACGGCGGCUCAGAUCCCGCGCCGGCCCGACCAUGCCCUCGACCGGAACGCAUCACGGGCCCCGCCGCUCGGUCCGCAGACGCCUCCCGCACUGGCGGCAGCCCCGAGGGGCCUCCAAGCCGAUGCGCGAUCCGGCGCGGCGGGAGGGGCUGGCCCCGAGGAGCGGCGACCCGCCGCGUCCGGAGGACGGGAGCCUGGCCGGCGCCGGCGGGUCCAUCCAUCAUCGCCGCCGUUUGGGGAGGGACGCGGUCCCGGCCGACGAGGUCAUCGGCCACGGCGAGCGAGACGGGCACGGCGGCGGGAUUCGGUCAGAUCCGAUCCGAUCCGAUUAGUUUAGAGCGGUCGCCUCCGCCGCCGCACGCAGCCAUGCCGCCGGUGGCCUCUCGCGCCCC